RNAcentral lists this long non-coding RNA (54492 nucleotides) under Panicum hallii. Its description in RNAcentral is "long non-coding RNA (PHAL_LNC000730)". Lineage: Eukaryota; Viridiplantae; Streptophyta; Magnoliopsida; Poales; Poaceae. The record is from RNAcentral.
UUUUUUUUGAGUUUGAAGUUGAAAUAAAUAAGUGUGCAACGCGGCAUCUAGUGGCGUUGAUUGUGUUCAGGAACGUCCUUGCUUGCUUGGAUUGGGGGUGGUUGUCUUGUCAAUUCGUAUUUGAUAGAUGGGAAGUUGUGCAGUUCUAUGAUAUUGAAAUAUGCAGCUACUUCAGUCAGGUCCCUGAAUACUUGCUUAGGGGGAUAAUGUUGCUGCUUGUCUACUUUGAUUUUGGUGACUCCUUGAGCAGGGGGAAUGCCCACUAACUUGUGCAAUUUUUUGAAAGAAAGAAAAGAACUUGUGCAAUAACCUGUAGUUUUUCUUUCAUUGGAUUCCAAUGGUCUGUAACAAUCAAGUUCUUCCAAAUGGCUGUCAAUUUUGAAUCAAGUUACGCUGACUCAAUGAGCACUGUCAGAAAUUUGCACUGCGCCUUUCACUUUCUGUCAAGGUGAUUAAGAGUUGGUUAUUUCGAGAUGACUUGGUUAAUUUUGAUGAUGGAGUUUGGCGUGAAAUGGCCAAGCUGUGCUCUAACUAUAAUAAUUUAAACAAGUCAUGAUUACCUUUUCUGAUAGGACCUUAAUGUUUAAUAUGUAAUGGACAACAACGCUGAACUUCUACCCCAGUCAUUCUGCACUUUCUUCCUGUAUCUAUGCCCCUAUAAACUCCUCCUAAGUUAUUGCGUUAUAAAAUGAUAAAGUGAUUUCUGUCUCAUUUUGUCUGAUUUCCAAAUAUGUUUGUGCUUGUGCAGAUCAAAGAAGCAAAAUUGCAAUCUUUGGCUCACAUUAAAAGGAUUGAAGAACUUGAGAUGAAGCUGCAUAGUGCCCAAAGUACUAUACUCUCACUUGAAGGAGAGUUGGAGAGAGCAAAAAAUGAGUUGAACCAGACAAAAAUUCAAGCUGAAGAAAACAGAAUCAGACAUUCUGACGCUGAGAAAACUGAUGAUAGCGAGAUGAGCAGUCAUCAUUCUAAGAUCUGCAUGAGAGAGAGAAGUAAAUCUCCAGUAAGUUCUGAAAUUUAUUGUAUUCCAAGAAAUUUAAAGGAGGAUGAAAAUGUGGGGAAAAUCCAGGACCUGCACAAUUGCAAUCAUUAUCUCGCAUUAUCUGGAGCAACACAUAAGGAAUCCAUAUGUUUUUGCAGUAGAGGUGCCAAAAAUACUAGUUCACUUGAACAGCACGUUCAAAGUCUGGAGACACCCUUGGGACGAAGUGGUCGGAAUGCUGGUCAAGUGAAAAAUCUUUCGAUCAGUGGAAAGAAAGUAAUCGCUAAAAAAUUUUGCUGCCUAGAGGCAGAGGUACUCCAAACUGGAAAUCUAAGAUACUGCAAGCGUAGGAGGAGCAAAAGAAGUGGGUCUAGAUAUAGGCAUGCUGCAAAUAAGGUGCAAAGGAAAACAGAAAAUGAAGCACCCAACACUUCUGAUGGUAAUGGAUGUAUGCUGCUAAUUCAGGCCCUUGAACAUGAUCUUUCUCCUUCAAAGAUUUUUGAUAGACAAGGUGGAAAUCAUGUUGGGCAACAUGUUACUGAAGCCAUGAUGUAUCUGACUGACCCAAUGCAGAGUUCGUUUGAUUCUGAUAAUAGGUCUAUGCAGACCGUGGAACCAAUGAAAAACAGCACUGAAGAUGAAGGUACUAUUCUGAAACACUCAAUUCAUCCGAAUAUAUUGUCAUCAUUUAAACAUGAUUAUCUUCAUGCAGUUAACAUGACAGAAGACCUCUCAGAGUGCAGAACACAAGAGAAUACUAUAUCAGACAAGAAAGAAGAUAAGAACCAGCAUAUUUGCAACUUGGAUUUAGACAAAUUUGGUGUAGCUCCUAUUGUCAGCUCCUCAACCAAUGAAGGAAAUGCAACCAUAUCCUCUAUCACUUCCAAUCGAACUGCAUGCCUGUACACAUUCAACCGUAGGAAGCGAAAGAGCAAGCACAUUGAGAAGAGCACUGAUGAUUCUGUCACUGACAAGAUUCUCCAUCGUAUGGGUCCAGUAGAGGAACACAAAUCAAAAACACAAGUGAUCUUGACAGACUCACCACAAAGUAAUAGGCGUCUGCUUGAGGUCGCUAGUCAGGUGUGUGGUUUUGCUUUGUUUUGCUUUAUUAAUGUGCGAUGUGCUGUAGAAGUUCUUCAAGUUCGGACCGUUACAUAAUAGCCAAUAUUUUGCAACUCUUGUCUCUCUUAUUAUUUUGAAGCAAAAUCUUCUCUCUCUGGUUUUGCAGCUCAUUUCAUUGUCCGAGAAGUGAGGAAAUUGCGCUGCAGAGAAUGGGUGCCAAGAAUCGUGGAUUCAAUUCCUAAGAUCAGCUUCAAGCAAAGGGAGAGGGAGGCCAUUCUCCAAACAUCCCAAAUGAUCUGUUAAGUAGGGAACAGGUCAUCUGGUGGAAGUGCAGAAACUAGAAGUGCAAGAUAUGUCGACAUGUAGCUAGAAAUUUCUUUGUGUGCAUACAUUGCAAGUGCAAAGCAUAUGUGUCUCUCUUAUCGAGAAGUGUAAUGUCGCUAUGAGUUCUGAUGAUUCUUUCAUUUGCUGUCCAUAGAAAAUAGAAAUCGAGAAAUAUAGAGCUCACUCGAGAAGUGAACUAGGAAAUGACGAAUGAGUGUGGUUUCUAUGUGCAUAUCUCCUAAUUUCAGAAGCUUGUUAACAUUAGCAUUCCGUUAUGAAGCUAGAUCAGUAGCACAUCAGCUUCAUUUUUGGCUACCGAUCCGGAGGUGUUUGGAUGCUAAGCACUAAAAUUUAGUCAUGUCACAUUGUAUAUUUCGAUGCUAAUUAGGAGAACUAAACACAAACUAAUUAUAAAACUAAUUGCAGAAGUCUAGAUCUAAUUCGUGAGACGAAUCUUAAGCCUAAAUAGCAUCACAUGGGCUAAUAGAUUCGUCUUGUGAAUUAUCUUAGGGGUUAUGCAAUUAGUUUUAUUAUAAAUCUAUAUUUAAUACUUUUAAUUAGUAACUAAAUAUUUGAUGUGAUAGGGCUAAGGGCUAAAGUUUAGCCCUGCCGGAUUCAAACAGCGCUAAAAUAGCACGAGGACUAAAAUAACAUGGAUUGCCGCGAAGCGGAUUCAAAAACCACUCGAAGCGGGUGAACCGUGAACGUGAUCCCACGCGGUAUUUAUGUACCUCGUUGCGCACACAGGGCCUCUUCCUUAAAUAUCCACUUAAAUUGUUAAUCUAUAAAAUUUUGUACCCAUAAGAAAAAAAUCUAUAUAAUUUUCUAUAGACAUGUAUUUUAAAUUAGAUGGAGCACCGAUUAACGCGAGUCCUCCAGCAAUUUUGACGACUUCCUGGUUUUCACCCUCCUCUCUAGUUUGGAUUUUCGUGAUUAGCAAAACCACGUUUGGCUGGGGACUGAUCACGGGUACCAAACAGCCGGCCUCCAGGCCCAACCGGUGGAAGGGGAAACCCUACAGCCCGGGGCAGCGAUUGGGGAGCGCAGCACGCGAGGCUUCGACGCCGUUGAGCUCGAGGCGGCCGGCUCGCGGCCCGGCCUCAGCGCCGCUGCGGCUUCGCCUGGUUCCCGCGAGCUCGGCGCGGAGGUACCUAGAUCCUUCUCUCACCUUUGCCUUGGGCCUUGGCCCUGCUCUUGCGCCCCCCUCCCCUCCCAUUUAGGUCGCGUUCCAAGCGGGUUUGAAUCCGCCGGGGUGGGUUCGUGCGGCCUCAAUCCUGUGAGUCUCUGGAUUUGACGCGGUGUUGCUGAUAGCGUUUGCUGCGGAGGCCGCGGCUUGCUCAAUGCUGCUCGAUGAUGUCGAAUCGGUGAUUGCUCGAUGUGGUUCUGUUCGUUGCCAUGUAACUUGGUUUCGAUUAAAUCCUUGUCGGGCUUAUGAAUUGGGCGUCUGUGCAAGUAGGUUUCUGUUUGUCGCUGAUCAGUAGCAGCUGGAGCAAGAUGUUUGUUUCCAACUAUCCACAAGCAUUUUCGCCUAUGUUGCUUGAGCUUGACUGUAUUUGGUCCUGAGAUCUAAAUUCCUAUCUCAGUGAAGCUAAUCUUUCUAACAAAGCAGCAAAUACUUGCUUGUAUCUUUUAUAGUUUGGGUCAUUGAUGCAACGAUUUUCUGUUUCGAGAGCUGGCUCAUGUUUUGGUUGAUUUGUUUAGUAGCAAUGUUUCUACACAGAUUGGGAGCAUAGUCAGGUUGAAAUAUCAGUACACGCCAUGAUUGAGUAUGUCCAUAAUUGCAGUAAUCCCAUUCGCUGUAGCAAACUAGUAUGGGAAAACCUGUGCUACCGAUGACUGAAGGGCUUGUGUAUUCUCAAUGAUUUCCAAAUGGUAGUAGAAUCACUGGAAUACUUGUUUGCCAAUUGCUCAAGAAAACAUUGUGGGUAGAUGGAUGUGGCACACAAAACCAAGGAAAUCUGACGUCCUGUUUAGGUUUAUUAUUCCAUAGAAUUAUGUACAUGUUCUAAGUGUAUGUACUUAAUGGGUUCUGGGUGAGAUGUAAAAACAAUUUUAAAACCUUUUGAUUGCUAUAUUUUUGUUCACUGGUCUCAAUUGUAAAUGGACAACGUGUGAAAAAGAAGCUGACAUGGCACUGUCAUGCUUCCUUCACGCUCCCCUUCAAUAGAGAUAAAAUGUACUCUUUUCUUUCUGUAUUACAGAGUACUGUAAGGUUCACAUGUAGAUAUUAGCUGUCCUUGUACCUACAGAACUGGGUUACUUGUUCCAAUGAGAAUGCCAUGUAACUUAGUAUUGAGUCAGUAAAGAACACGUCCAAGUAGUAUAGGUCUAGUGCACUUAUCAUAUAGUAGGGUUAAGCGCAAAACAUGAGGCAUUAUUGAAUUGAUUUUUGUCUUUAACAUUUGUCCAUUUUAGUUUUAGGUUUCCUCUUCAGAGCAAUACAAUUGAUGCUUUCUGGCCUGUUGCAGGGUUGAAUGGCAAACAGAGCAAGAUGGGUGAUGAAGUAUGAAAAGGGCCUUGUUGAUAUACUUCAUGAGAACAAUAAUUCACAUUAUCGUACCCAAAAUGGAUGGAGAACAGAGGGGUGGAGGAAAAUUGUUAGGGAUUUCAACAUGAGGUACCCAGAAGCAAAGUUUAGUAAAAUGCAAAUCCAGGAACAUGAGACUCAAUUGAAGAAAGAUUACAAAUUGAUAAAAUUGAUCCUCCAGCGUGAUGGUGUUUCAUGGGACCAGAGUGCAUCCAUGAUUAGAGCGACAGAUGAAAUCUGGGAUGAGAUAAUUGAGGUGAGGAUUUAACUCUUCUGCUCUAUUAUAUAUGCAGCAAAGGUAGAAUUUUAAUAUUCUUUUUAAAUUUGGCAGGAUAUGCCCAAGGCACGGAAGUACCAAAGUAAGAGCUUUCCACUGCUUGACUCGCUGGAGCUGUUAUUUGAUGGUAAGCACCUCCCCCUAUCCCCGGAUGCACAUGUACACGCACGCCACCUCAACACAAUAAAGACUACUGAGAAGAAUUGUAGUGUUACCCUUUGCUUUUCUGAUUUAUACAUGCAUCUGUCAUAGGCCCUAUUCCUGAAGGAGGACAAAAUUCACCUCAGAAUAUUGUUGGAAAUGUUGACGAGGGAGGCAACAACAUGAGCACAACCCCAGACAUGUCUGGAAGACCUAGUGGAACGAUUAAUGCAAACUUUGACGAGACAUGGAACAAUAUCAGCCUACUUCAACGAACGGCAUUAGGACCACAAGGUAUAGAUGAUCUUGACGUUCUGCAUAACCAUACCGAGGAGGUACUGGGACAACAACAGCAUGGCGCAGACGGAAGGCCACAGAGAGCUGAUGAACAAGCACAGUCAAGUUCCUGUGUAGAGCCGCAGAGAGACAGGCGCAAGAAGCGCAAGGUUUCAGACAUCCAGCAGAUCAUGGAGACCUAUCUAAAUUUCAGGAUGAAGCAAGCUCGCGUGAAAGAACAGAAAGCAAAGGAAGCUGAUCAGUUCACAAUCUCGAGCUGCAUCAAAGCAAUGAACACCAUGGCCGAUGUGUCUGAUGAAGUCAAGGUCUUAGCCUCUGAUGUUUUCAAGGACACCGAAAACCGGGAGAUCUUUCUCUCCUAUGAACCCAGGCUGCGCACCUUGUGGCUGAAGAGGGAAGUUGGUAGGCUGCUCACGUGAUAAAAGAUGGACUUAUUAUGGUGUUGGUUUAUCUCUAGGUGUGGUGAAGUGGCGACUUUUGCAGUUCUCAUUUAGUUUGUUAUUAUCUGUGUAUCAGCUUUAAGUCGAUUUCUGGAGGCAGAUUCUUCCUUAUCUAAACCUUUUAACUUUGACGUGCUCCUUGUACAGAGUCUCACCACGCUUCCAGAAAUGUAGGCAUUCAUGCUUAGUAAUGUGCUUCCAAAUUUUUUUUGGAUUUGGAUCCAUAUUAUCUUUUGUUGAAAAAUGUGACAGACUACUUGUUUUUGACAAAACACUAAAACCGUAAUGAGGAUUGUUCUCCCAUUAUAUUCAAAAGGAAAGAAGACAGUGGAAUUAUUUCCCAGAAUGAUGGUUCGAGUAUUGGCACUUUGGCAGGGGUGAAAAGCACUAUGACACCACAAUUAGGCCAAUCACAUCAAGCACGAGCUCGUUUGGUAGUUUCAGUUAGCCCAUAGUACCAGAUAACAGAUCGUGAUGAACCUGAUGUGGAUUGCAAAUUAAUUCAGUGAGGCACAGCUAAAGAUUGCACUUGGAAAGCUGAUGCAUGAAAUAAACGCGAUCCCGAAGAACACAAAAUGUUUGAAACCAAGAUUUUGCAAGAAUCAGUGGGCAAUGGCAAUAUUUCACUUCCUUUGUACAGCCAACUCACCACGCGCAGUAUAAACUUUGAUACAAUGUCAACCAUUCAAGCAAACAUUCGAUAUUUCCAUGUUCUGAGGCACCUGGAAUGGACUACUGGUCAUGCUGAAAACACGCUCAAAUAGCAGCCUUGGAACCUCAAAUAGCAUGAAAUCACCAAAGCUGAAAUUCUCAUAAGUCAAUUAUUAAUCAAAUCUGCAGAGCCAGACCCAUUUCACCAUUCUAGUUCCGUCCAAUAUACAUUUCAAAUUCAGACCAUAUUCAAAGAAAAUGCCUGACUAUAAUGGUCAUCACAAGCAUAUAUGUAAUCAGAACAUACCGAGGGCAAAGCAAUCCCCACAAUUGAAAUAUACUCAGGGUGAUGAAAGAACUAGACUAAGACAACGCACAAGCACUCUUUAAGAUGGCAAACAUUUCCACUCAAUACAAACUUAGGUAAGGCUAUAUUGACGGUUUAGCCGCUUAAGCUCCAAUCUCUUCUUUCUUCUCCAGUAAAAUGAAGCGCUCAUGACAGUACCAAGCUUAGCUUUCAAGUUCCGCAACUCAAAUUUUGUAAACUAAUUGACGAAUAAAUUCUAGGGCUUCCACAUAAUUAAACAUACUGGGACACUAGGUUUGAAAGUCAGUGAAUACAAAAGAUAUCGUAAACAGAUCAAAGCAGGACUAGAAAUUUAUAAUGCAAGUGGUUCAACAAGACUUAUGAUGUCCAAUGCAAAAUUUAAAGCCGAAUUUGAAGGACUCCUCACACCAGGCCAAGCUCACAUGUAGAAAGCUUAAAAGUGGAUGCAUAACGGGAGCUCAUGAAGUUUAUAGUAGCUAACUAGGAUAGCAUUUGAGGGACCAGGCAUUAGGUUCAUGGUAAGUGGUCAUAGACCUACUUACAUGGCUAUGAAGACAAGAUAAAGUAUUGUUAUAUAUAGCUAUUUACAUGGUCAUGAAGUGGAGAUGUACACAUAUGAUAUAAAUUUUUGAACUGAAAGAUCACACAAACAGAGCAAGAGAAGACAUAAUGUACCAACUUACAAUAUGAUGGAGAUUCAUGUCCCUUCAUGCCAAGAGCAGAAUAAUAGGAAUGCCAAGACUGGCAAAGUAUUGGUGAACCAGAAUCUGAAAGUUAGCUAAGUGACAAUCCACUUAAAUGAUGCAUGCUUAAAUGCCCAUAGGAAAAGCAGACAGAAACCGAAUAAUGAAACAAAUUUCUACAGAGUGCUGGAAGCUACACUCAGAUCAAAACUACAAAGAAAAGGAAUAGAUAGAUCCAUAACAGGUAAUAAGAUUGCCAACAGCUAAACUUCAUGUUUACUCAUUGAACAAACAACAUUUACUGCUCAUAUACUCUUAGAUAAGGACACAACCGUCACCUUAUAUAGCAUAUAUAUUAUCUCACAAACUGUAAGCAACAAACAGUCCUCCAGCAACACAUGCAACAGGAACAGUCUAAAAAACAUAGUUUCUGGACAAGUCUAUAUAGAUUUAGCGCCUAUUCCAAUAUUCACAUUUCUUUAUACCAAAAGCAGACGAUACGCAAAAAACUAGCAUAUCCGACAGUAACAUGCAAUGAGUAGUAGAGCUACAGCAUAGAACUAGUAUAACCCUGGCAGUCUAGUAUCUUGGACCCAUGCUACAAGAACGGGAUAGCCGCACUGGUGCUAUAUUUGCCAUCUCUUGUCCAGUCCCAACUGUUGUUGCUUUUGGGCCACCACCACCUUCUGCUGCAGACACGGUGUUGUAUUGCUUCCUGCAACCUGGGCAGCGCCCAUCUGCCUCAAGGAUCUUCUUGUGGCAGAAGAGGCACAGGUGAAACCCACAAGGGCAGGGGCGGAAGCUAGAGUCUGUUGGGUCAAGAUCUUCAUAGCAUAUCGGGCAUGGCAGUGGCAAUGAGAGAAUACCCUGCUGCGCAGCACCCAUCCCCAUCCCUGCCCAGCAGUUACCAAUGCUCGCUGGGAAGCUGGCCUGCUUGGAGAUACUGGGUAAGCUCUGUGGACGAAAUAUAUCAUCAGGUGCCCAAGCCCUUGUCUUGCUCCGAAUCGGUUCUGGUCUUGCUGCAUUGGCAGGUGCUGCAUUGGUAGGAGCUGGUGUGGGUGUUGUCGGAACUGAACUCUGGUGGCAAUGACUGUCAUCAUCGUAGAGCGCAUCAGCAGCAGCUUCCCAAUCAUCCAAGACUUCGCUAUCAUCCUCAGGGCAGCCUGCAUCCUCCUCCUCAGCAUCACUCACACUCCUCGAGCUGGACCACACACUGCUGCCACUACUGAGGCUGGGGCCACCGCCAUUGCCGGAGAACCCUUUCCUCCGAGCGCCACCAUUGCCCUGGGACUUGUCAGAGCCAGGGCUGUGCAUGGGUGAGUCAAGGUCGCUGCUCCCUACCUCUAGUCCAGUAGCACCAGCUUCCUCCCUGUCAUCCAGAUCACUUCCCCUAGACCUCGUGUCCGCACGCCGACGAGGGAGUGGAGGGUGCGGGGAAGCGAGGAUUGGUGAGCCAGCAUUUGACCCUGCUCCUGUUGGCGAAGCCGCAACCUUGGUCUCUUUCCCAUCCUUGCCUGGACCAAUCCAAAACCCAAAAAAGGGGUCAGAUUUUAACAAAUCAUCAAUGAGAACACUAUUUUUUCCAACUAGAUCACCCCAAAUCAACGAGAUAUUGCAUUCUACGAAAGCCCUUAUAAAAAUUUCCCGGACAAUGUUUCCAUCUUCCUAACCCAGAAGAGAUCACAAGGGGUUAGAUAAAGCCUUGAUCCAGCGCAGGGAGAUCUUAACUCUCGCAUGCACACCACCGCCGAAUCCCCAACAGGAAAUCCCCCAAAUCACAAACUGCGGAUUAAAAGCAUCAGACGGAACAGGCACGAGAUCAGACCUUGCCCGGACAGCCACUGCUCGCGGCGCGUCUCGAGCUUGCUCUGCUUCAACUUCGCCGCCGUCCGGUUCCCCUGCGAGGCGCACCCGAAAAAACAGGAAGUCAGAUCAGAUCAGCACGCGGCGCAAUCAAAUCGAACCCAACCAGGAACCCCCCGGACCCGAAUCGAAUCACAUGGAUCACCCCCACCCCCACGGGCAAACGGAUACGACCCGCCCUUACCCUCUUCUUCUUCGCGUCGCGCGCGGCGGCCGCCGAUGCGGGCGAUGCGGCGUCGCUGUGGCCCAUCUCGCCGGGGCGGUACGUGGGCUGGGGCGGUGCGGACCUGCCUCGCGGGGCUGCCGGCCUCGUCGACGCGCGCUCGGGGGGAGCGAGCGAGGAGGCGGAGAAAACCCUAAAAAGCGAUGCGGCGGGCGAGCGGCGAGAGAGAGGGAGGGAAGGCGAGGACAGACGCGGGGUGGAUGGAUGGAUAGAUAACACGGGGGGGUGGGGCGCGGAGUUAAUGAAAAGAAAGAGAGGGGCGGAGAGGAAAGGGAAGCGAAAUCUCCUGGGAUUUUCGGUUCGCGUUUAUUGAUCCGCCACGGCGGGGGCAAAUGACGAGACUGCCCCCCUCCGCAGCGGGGCGGCGGUUAGGGGUUGCGUGGCCCGUGGGAUCGGGGCCGUCCGAUCCGCGCGGGGGUGGGUCGGCGGGAUGGGGUGAGGAUUUGGCCGGUUGGCCGGUUGGGUGCCGCGUUCCCACCGGGGGGGCGUUUUCGUGAAGUCUUUUCUUUGGCCCGGGGUGAACCGGACGCUCCUGGUCGUAACGGCGUUUUUGUUUCUUUAGCAGUACACAGGCGCGCGGUAACGUGCGGCGCGAUUGCGACGUCGCGGGCCGUUGCGUCCAUCGGUUGGUAGAUGGCCGGCGCUGAGGAUUUUGCGAGGACCUCGAACGGGGGAGAAAGGAAGGUGAGGAGAAGCUGCUAGAAGGUUGAGUUCGUGCUCCUCACGUGAUUGAGCCACAGCAGAGUUUGUUUGGAUUGAACUAUCAACUACUAUAAAAACUCGGCAAGAAUUCCGUCAGGUGAAAGAAAAGGAAGUACCAAAGAAUUUGAAGAAUAUUUGAAUGUCACAAGGUGGGGUGCCAUUCGUCGAAACAGGAAUUAUGAGGCAUCAGGUUUCAUUUAUUCUUUCAGGCCCGCACGACUAGCGCAGCCGUGCUCAGCCAUAUGUCGUCAACAGGCACCAAAACUACAAAAGAAGUGACAAGUUGGUCAGAGGUUUUCGGUUUACAUCUCCCUGCGUGGCACCGGCUUUCUAAGCAUCAUUUACAGACCAAUUGGUGCUCCGAAUUCAUGGGCCCUAGGAAUUUUAUGAGCAACGUGACACAAAAAGGUCAUGCCAUGUAGCAACUGCAUAUGCUGCUGCCAGCUUUUUGCUCCAGUCAGCACUACCACGGCUUAGCUCUGCUUCAACGUGGCACCAAAGGCACGUGACGCCACACUGGGUACCAUUUUCCGACCCUACCUCAUUAUUCUGAUUCGUACCAUGCCCUUCUAUGCAGGAAGUUAGGAAGUUUCUGUCCUCCUACAAAUCAAGAUAGAGUAACAGGUCAGUGUAUGACCCGUUAAGUUUUCUUUUAAACGAUCGCCCAUCAAAUUGAUGCAACAGAAUCAACUAUCCAGUGAUGAAGAACCAAACCUGCAGGAACCGGAGACCAACCAAUCAAGCACGAUGUAAUCAUGUAAGUUGAUCGUCAUGAUCGCUAGAAGGCGUGGCCACACGCGCCUGCCGACGAAAAACGAAUGCUUAAGCAACCAGGCAAGGUUGUGAUAUUUUCCGUGGGCUCUUUUGUGUCGCCUGGUGCUUACAUCCAGCCAAGGCAUGAGCUCCUUCGUGCUUUGUCACGACUCGCGAGGACCAUGCAAGUAAUCAUUUACCUGGCCAUGCAAAGACAAUGUUUAAUUAGCAGUUGAAAGAAAUGGUAGCCACGCCAGACAAUGCAUCACAAGGAGAAAAGUAAAUAAAAAACUGGAUGCACCCAUAAUGAACAAUGCGUCGCACGAGAAAAGUAACAGGGUUGCAGCUAACCUAGAGAAGUUUUCACUUUUCACUCCACCACCACAACCCCAUAGUACAUAGUGAAAAAAGCAUACUAAAAACAGAAAAGAAAGCUAAAUAAAAAACAGAUCAACUAACAGAAUGAGUUAACUUGUUAACAGCAGCCGGGUACACAUUUUCAGAUGUGUCAAUUCUUUCACAACCAACAAUUGCAGCAGCAUAAUACAAGAUCAUUACUUCUUUCAGAAAACUGCAAUAGUGACACUGACACCAUGGUCAUGGCAAAAUUGCAGUGACAUAAUACUAGCUCAGUACUUUUUAUAGAAAAAUGCAAUAGUGACACUGACACCAUGACCAUGGUCAAAUAAUAUCUACCAGUGGUGCUGCUUCAGUCUCAUCAUACAGAAAUCUACUGCCAACAAUAUGUAUCUACCAUGCUACAGCCAGCCUGGUGCACAGACCUAUUUAUGUAUACACCUUUAUCGGAACAGUUCCCACUUCCCACUUCUAUGAUAGAGAUGGCACAUUGGAUCCAUUUCUGUAUUCUCCAAAAGAAGCACAGUCAAUAUUUUUAUGGCAAUAACUUACCAUUCAAAUCAUCCACACGCCCAAAUCUUCCACAUUUUCUACCUAAACUAACGUCAACGAGCCGAUGCUUUCAUCGAUUGGCAAAUUUUUGGACCUCUGUCUGUAAGGCCACUAUCCUUUUGCGAAAAAAAGUUAGAAAAAGUAAUUAUGAGUGAUGAAAGAACAUAUCUACAAUUGAAGUCACCCACGAUUAUCAACUGCACUCCAACCUACACCUUUUUCCACUCCAUGAUUCUUCAUCAUCUCUCUUAGUUUCUCUAUCUCAUCCCAUUUUUGAACACUGCCAUAAGAAUUAGACAUUAAAAUGUAAUAUCCAUCAUUUUCUGGGUCAGAAGCAAAUGCCUUUUUUGCAAUCCUUAACCCCAUCUCAAAGUUGUCAUGCACUUUGCAGGCAGUAAGCAAAGUUCCCCAUACCCCACCAUCAGGUUCUACUGGCAUGGCCAAAACCAUAUCUUCGGCUUCUUGGAGAUGUCCACAUUUCCCUAAGAGAUCCACCAUACAAGCAUAAUGCUUCAGGUUAGGCUCAAGUGAGUAUUUUGCCAUUCUAGUGAACAGCUUCCUGCCCUCCUCAACAAACCCUGAAUGGCAGCAAGCAGAUAGAAUGGCAAGAAAGGUGACACCAUUAGGCUUAACACUUCCACUCUCCAUCUCAUCAAAUAAUUCUAAUGCUUGUUUUGCUUCCCCAUGCAUCCCACACCCUGAUAUCAUCACAUUCCAAGCAACAACAUCGCGUUGAAGCAUAGAAUCAAAAAUCCUUCUUGCAAUUCCAAGUUGCCCACAUUUAGCAUACAUGUCAACAAGUGCCGUACUGAUUGAUACAUCAGAUUCCCACCCCAUAUCUUUCACAUAAGAAUGUAUCUGCUCCGCGCGUUCCAAUGUAGCCAGGUUUGCACAAGCUGAAAUGACAGUGAUCAAGGUUGCUGAGUUGGGUUUCAAACCUUCAGUGAGCAUUUGAUCAUACAGUGACAAUGCAGAAUUUAAAUGCCCCAGAUAAGCAUAGCUGGAAAUCAGUGCAUUCCACGUGACAACAUCCCCCUUCAGUUUGGUCAGGGCAAAUAUUUUGCAGGCAUGAUCAAAUUUUCUGCACCUUCCAUACAUGCCAAUUAAAACAUUUGCAACUGACAAAUUAUCGUCAAGCAAGUGCUUGACUGAAUAACAGUGUGAAGAUUGACCUAGUCUUAGUUCCUCUAGCCGUGAGCAAGACGAGAUUGCGGAAACCAAGCUAUUGGCAUCACACAGGAAUUCAUCCUUAUCUCUGAACUGCAGUUCACGGUACAGCUCCAAGCAUUUGACAUCACAUCCAGCUUUCCAGUAUCCUACAAUCAUCAAAUUCCAUGAUUCCGCAUUUUGUUGAUGCAACGAUCUAAAAACUCUGCCUGCAACGUCCACCAAUUCAAAUUUUCCAUACAUUGAUAUCAAAGCAUUGCCUGUCAAAACACUAUCUUCAAAGUUUCUCUUUGUUAUAAGCGCAUGAAAUGCCUUCCCUCCAAGCACAUUUCCACUUUUACCCAACCCUGCAAGAAGACAACUAACGAGAACCUCAUCUGGCUGCAGAUCAGACUCCUCCAUCUCCUGAAAUAACUCCAUGGCCUCCCUAAUAAGCCCUCUCCAACAGUAAGCUCCAAUCAAGCUAGUCCAGGAAACCACGUCUUUCUCUGGUAACUCCGGGAACAAGACAGACGCACCCUCAGUGUUGUGACACUUCGAGUACAUUGAGAAAAGUGCAGAAGCCACCAACGGGGAAUCACCAACCCCGAUCUUCAAUACAUACCCAUGCAAGCAUCUACCUGAAUUCAGCUCACCUAGCAACCCGCACGCCUCCAAGCCACUCUCCAUCGUCCGUGAGUUUGGCCUCGUCUCUCCGUUGCCUGCAAGCCUGAUCAUCUCCACCAGAUAGCGCAACCCGUCCGCACACUGCCAAUUCCGCACGCACCCAGAUACCACCGCAGUCCACGCGACCACGUCCCUGUCAGGCAUUUCCUCGAACACCUUCACCGCGUCCCCGACGACGCCGCACCUGGCGUACAUGUACACCAGCGACGACGCGACGGCGACGGAGCCGCCAUCGCCGACGAGGAGGCCGCACCUGACGCAGUACGCGUGCACGGAGGCGCCGACGCCGAGCGCGCCCAGCUCGGCCGCGGCUGAGGCGGCGAGCGGGGCGGUGAAGCGGGAGGGCCGCGCGCCCGAAGCGAGCAUGCGGCGGUGCGCGGCGAGCGCGGCCGCGAAGUCGGAGGCGCAGUGGUGGGCGCGGAUGAGGGAGUUCCAGAGGAACGCGUCGGGGCGUGGGGAGGCCGAGAAGACGAGCGCGGCGAGCCCGGGGCGCCCCGCGGAGGAGUAGGCGGAGACGAGCUUGGCGGCGAGGUCGGGGCGCGCGGAGAGGCCCGAGGUGACGGCGAGCGCGUGGACGCGGAGGAGCUCGGGCUGCGGCGGGGGCGAGGGCGACGAGAGGAAGCGGGAGAGGAUGGCCAGGGGGGUCGCGGUUUGAGGAGGCGGCAUCUGAUUGCUCCUUCGAAAAGGUCACUUCGGUCGGGCGAGCUAGAUUAUACACGGAGCACUUCACAGUGUCGGGCGCUUCAUCAGAAUUCAGAAACGAAUCGCACGGGGACAUCGAUUCAAAGUAAAAUAGCGGUGAAUGCAGAGUCAGAUCCUAGUUCGAAAAUUUAACUCGCUUUCUGUUAAAAAGGGAAAACAGGAACGUGUAAUAAUAAAGUGUAAAAAUACCAGUAGACUCAAGAUUAUCCAAAUAUCCUUUUUUUGCUGCGAUCUUGGCACACCUGUGUGAAAACUGCGAAUGAUAAGAGUGCAGACUAAACAGCCCAUGAUAAAGUACACCCUGUCCUGAAUUCGUUAACAGCACAAGUACAAGCCGCUUUGUCGUAAGGGCUUUUUAUUGAAAGAGCACCGUCCUGUACAUAAGUUUCUGUCCAUGCGCAGGAUUGAUGAUGCGUCUUCCGUGAAUGAUGCGCUCCAUUCUCCUGGCGUGAACUCGUUUACAGCUUCGAUGGAGACUGGUACCAUCCCCAUGGCUCAUCCGAGCAGUACUUGGUGACUUGCUUGACGGUCAGGUAGUUGCUAAGGCCCCUGAAAGGAACGGCAAACACAAUUCAGAGGGCAAGGAUUGCAGAACCUUUUGUUUAGCAGUGAUGACAACAAAUUGUGCGAUCUUUCAAUAUUGAUGCAUUACUUAAAGCAAGCUGCAGUUGCUUUUGGCAAAUGUAGCCAACUCACCAUUCUCCAAGCUCACGACCAAAACCGCUCCGCUUGUUCCCUCCCCACGGAGCUUGGACAAAGGUUGGUUGAGAGCAAUUUAUCCAAACAAUACCAGAAUGAAGAGCCUGCAGACGACAGAUUUUACACGUGUUACGGGAUGAAAUCCUUCCAUUUCAUGAUAAUUCUAACAUCCUUGCAACUAAUCAGCAGGUGAAAUCAAUGUUCAUGUCAUACUAACUUACCUUCGAAAUGCGCUCACACCUCUCUUGAUCAUUAGAGAUCACUGCACCAGCCAAACCAUAGCUGAAAAGAAUUGAUAGAGAAGGCGAAUGAACAAUAUAGGCAUGAAAGGGUUUUCUUUUUCCAUAUUGCAAAAUCAUGCAAUAGUGACUCACUGAGUAUCAUUUGCAAGUUCCACAGCUUCACUCUCUGUCCUGAACUCUUUGACACAGAUGACUGGUCCAAAGACUUCCUCUCGCCAAAUUUGCAUUGAUGUGGUAACAUCUGUUAUAAUUGUAGGUUCAAUAAAGAACCCUCUUCUGAGGUGCUGAAAGUUGAUCAAUGUAGCUAGGAUCAAUAGCCAAGGAGCCAAAAAAGGGAUAGUGUAACAAAGGAUGCUUACCUGUGGUCGGGCACCACCAUAUAAAAUUGUGGCACCUUCGCUUCUUGCUGUUGAGAUGAACUUCUUUAUCUUUUCAUACUGAAAUAUGAAAUAGAGCUCUUCAGUUGUCUAAAUAAGAUUUGUGUAUUACACAAUGGUGCACUUCUUCAGUUUAAGACACGCGGAGCUGUGAAUGCCACAUGCAAGUAGGCCCUGUCCAGACUCCAGAGUCCAGACUAUUCGAAGUCGGUAUUGAAAACAACUGCAUAGAAUUAUAUUUUUCUGUAGGGUAAUGUGCAAAGAAGUAAAACUAUUAAGAGUUUCUUGUGCAAGGGAUCAUCACUAUUGUCGUGAUUUUGAACAGUUAUUUGUUUUGGACAUAAUCUCUUCAUUGCAGUGUUUACAGAUUCAUAAAAGGUACAUAUUUGCAACAAAACAUCAACAAGUGUGAUGUACUUCAUAAGCAUUACCUGCCCUUCACUGACAACAGACCCCAGCCUGCAGCCUUCCUCCAGUGGGUUGGAGAUUUUGAUAUUCUUGGCCCAUGCGACCAAUCUAUCCAAGAAUUGCUUUGCUAUUUUCUCCUGUGAAUUUUCUUAUGUCAUGUGUUAGAAAUAUUACUUGCUGUCUAAAACAGCUAGAAGAAAUACAUACAUGCAGAAGUAGACGAGAAGUAGCACUGCAGACUUGACCAGCAUUCGCAAAGAUCCCAAACAUGGCCCAUUCAACAGCUGAUUUAAAUUCACUGAGACCUUAGUACAGAUAACAGAAUUUGCCACAAAAUUAGGGGCAUAAUGCAACAUGAGGGGGAGGAAGAGACCUUUGUCAAUGUCAACGUCAUCAAAGACAAUAAGAGGACUUUUGCCUCCAAGUUCUAACGAAACAGGCUGUUGAAGAAGAAAUAAACAAUGGAAUAAGAAUAAGAAUUAUAUGAUAUAGAAAGCAUGAUUUGCAUGGUUUUUUUUCAUCAACAGAAGCAUAACGAUCAUAAGCUGAUGGAAUUUAUUUAGGAUGUGGAAAUAUACUGAGAAAGGAUAGGCAACUAAGAGAACAGACCUUAACCAUUUGGGCAGCAGCAGUCAUUAUUCUCUUACCAGUCUCUGUACUUCCGGUAAAAGCAACCUACAAAACAGAGCCAAAAAAAUUUGAUAACUUCAGAACUGAUGAUAAUUAUGGGUGCAAAUGGGUGACCCUUAGUUGCACCUCCAACCCUCUUUAGUUCAAAUAUCUAUACUACUUUUCUAAAAUAGAAUCUCAUUUUGGAGAAGUAGUACAAAUAUUUGAACUAAAAAGGAUUGGAGGUGCACCUAAGGGUAAUAAAUGUACAUCCCUAAUGAUAAUCAUGUCAGAUACGCGAUGUCCAUCAGCAUAUGAGUAUAUACCCAUUGAGAAAGAGGUCUUACCUUAUCCACAUGGGGAUGUGAAGAUAAUGGAGCACCAGCUUCAGUGCCCAGACCAGUAAUUAUGUUCAACACACCUGGAGGUAGGCCUACUUCUAUGCAUAUUGCACCAAGCUCUAAGCAAGUCCUGAAUUCAGACCAGAUUUUAGUCCUAGGAUAUAACAUUUUAUUAUUAAGUGACGUCAAAGGUAUCAAGCCUUACAGAGAAGCCAACUCCGAUGGCUUUAACACAGCUGUACACCCAGCAGCCAAGGAAGGUGCGACCUUCCAAGUAGCCAUCAACAGAGGAUAGUUCCUUCAUUUACACAUGGAAAACACAAAAUGAAUCAGAAUGGUCAUCUGAAAAAAUAAUUACAAAAACACCAACAGAAACAGCUACACUUUAUCAACUACUAAAGGUUUGAAGAACAUGUUGAAUUAAAGCAUAUGUCAUACCAAGGAGUGAUCAGUCCAACAACCCCAAUGGGUUCUUUAAGUAUAUGGGACUUGAAAUUUUCCAUAGGUAGAGAGAUUGGUGAACGUUGCUUCUCAUCUAAAGCCUCUGCCAGAUCAGCAUAGUACUCAAAGCAUGCAGCAACAUCCUCCUAAUGUAAAAUGUAAAGACAUUGAUUAAAACAUGGAUCAUCUUGUUUCUUCAGGCACACUGAAGAUCGGAAUGCAAAUAAUUGAAGCUACCAUAUCCGCAUUUGUUUCAUCCAGAGGCUUCCCGGAAUCAAGUGUCUCCAGCAAAGCCAGAUCAGAUUUCCUAUCGUUAAUCUGCACCCAGCAACAAACAUUUAAAGAAAUUUACUGACAGUUAAAAAACCGGCCAGUUAACAGAUGGAUGGCAAUGGGAAAUUUUCCCCAUACUAACAGUGGUUCAGCAUUUGGAUUUUCCAUUUAAAAUGCAUCAAACAGCAAAACUAGUAAACCUUCCACAUUCACACACAAACUAAUCUUAAAUGACAACAGUAGCAUCAAAUGCCGGUGACUUAGUGGCUAAUAGCUGCAGAAUGUCUACGUUUCAAGAUUUUGCUAUGCGAUGUUGAGAGACAAGUGCCAAUGCCAGUGCCACGGCAUAGCAGGAACAAGGUUAUCUAUGAUGGGAGCCUACACUGUCGCCAUCCUUUUAUUACCUCAAAGCUAAAACCUCUAUGCCUUAGAAAAUACAGAAGAUUAGCAGACCCACGAUUAGCGGAAGUUCAUACACAACAAUCAAACUAAUCAACGGGGGUAAAAUGAUACCAGAUGACUGGAAAAACAAAAGAGCCAUAGUCAUCUGACAAUUGUUCAGCAGUCAUCCAUCUCGAUCACGGCUCAUUUUUUGUUCUCCAGAAGCCAUCUAUCACCCUAAUCUAGCUAGGAGCUCCCUUCCUAGUCGCCCUGAAAUUAAAUCCGUUCACACAGCAACGAGAUGUUCAAGGCCCCAACAAACUUGAAAUCACCCAGCUACUUCUGAUUCUGAGGGGACACAUAGUUCGCACCUUGGCAGCGAUCGCCCUGAGGAACUUGGCCCGCACGGCCCCAGGGGCGCGCGACCAGUGCCUCCCGCCGUCGCGCGAGAACGCGUCCCGCGCCGCCGCGACCGCGAUCUCCACGUCCUCCGCCGUGGCCGCCGGGAUGUCGCCUUCACCGAUCACGACACACACAAAAAAGGCCGAGUUCAGUACCGUGCUAGCAGUAUGUUGUCGGAGCGGUGGAAAGGCCAGAAGGGGGAGCGCGGGCCGGACGAACCGAUGGUGGCCUCGGUGGCCGGGUUGACGACGGGGAGGCGGCGCCCGAGCGCCGGCUCCCUCCACCCCCCGCCGAUGAAGAGGCCGCGGCGCGGGAUCGUCGGCGGCGCGGCCAUGGCGACGCGAUAGAUGGACCGGAGCCGAGGAGCGCCCUGCUGCUGCUGCUACCGCGGCCGCCGCCGCCCUGCUAGCGUUUGGUGGUCGAACGGCGAGCAACGAGCACGAGGGAGGCGUGGGGUAUGACGCCGCGCCGCACCACUUUUUGAUCUGGACUCCGCUAGUGCUGGUCGCGUCACGUCGCAGGGGGGCUAGGCCACUAGCGUGCUGGCACUGCUGCUGGCCUAAUCAAAUGGGGAUAGAUGGAUACUCCCAGAUUCCCAGAGGCUCCCAGCUCGCCGUGCUUCGCAAUUUCCAAUUAUUGCUUUAGUUGCGGAAGGCGAAGGCCUCUUUGUGUCGUGAUGAUUGAGAGAUGGGCGCGCCCCGCUUGCCAUGCGAGCAGCGAGGAGAUUGGCGCGUCGUGUACGGGGCGCGGGUGCCCCGACCCGCCACCCGUGCCGUCGUGCAGACUUCGGUGACCGUGGGUCUGGGGUGUCGCCACCAGCGUCUCCAUCUCCCCGCGACUUUUGGCAGAGGAAAGCGGCGGGCUCGUGCCAUCUGUCGACGGGCUGAACGUCUGUGCUGACAGCAAAAGGAGCGUAGUGGGCAAAGGUCGCUUUUGUUUGUCAUGCUACUGUCAUGUGAACUCGCACACUAUGAUGCGUGGCUGCAUCUCCAUGUACCCGUGCCAUGCAUGAUGCAUUGUUCUCUGGGCUUUUAUCUAUGAACUGCUAAGCUAAGAUAAUGGAGAGUUACAUGGAGCCUGUGAUUUGAUACAGACAUACAGUCAGUAUAUACCAAAUUUAAGCCCGGACAGAAGUUCAUAUCAGCCUCCCUUACGCCAAAUGGAGAAGAUGAGCCCUCACCUAUUGAACCACCAACUGCAAAAAUAAUUGCUGAACCUGCUGGUGAUGAUGGAUUGGCACCCCUGUCACCUCCAUAGAAAUUGCCAUGGAAAGGAAUGCCAUGGUGAUAGUUUGAAGAAGGGAACCGCUGGUAACCUGGUUGGACGACUCCAAAAGGAUUGAAAUGUUGUGGGAAGUAGUGAGGUGGAAAGGACCUGGGAUCAUAUUGAUGUGGUGGAAAAAUCGUAGGCAUAUGGGGUUGGAAACCAUGUUGCUGUGUGUUUGUGUUUUGAGGAUUUGAGCUUGGAAGUGAGGAAUUUACCAGAUCUGUGAAACUAGAUGAGGAAGAGUGCUCCAUUGUAGCUAUGUGUGAGUUUGAAUAUUUGCAUAUGUGAACUUUCAUGUAUGUAAGAUGGAGACAAGCAAUGGCCAUAUACACUGUGCACUUAUUAUUUUAUUUGAAGUGGGUGGGUGAGGGAGAGGAGGAGUCCAUACGGGCAGCUGAAUAUUUUAUUAAGCACCAGCAGCUUACGAGUCGAACCGAGUUUGGAAUCUAUUUUGAGUUCUGACACCCACCAUUUAACUGCCGCAAUGCAAAAUUCGAUUUCUAGCAACUACGGUUCGAUUUUGGAACACACUAGAGCUGGCCUUACUACUUUCUGUUCUGGAUUUUUGCAGAAUAUUAGUUACUGCAAAAGAAGAUAAAACCAAAGGCACAACAACCUGUGUCACGGACUCAAGGAGUAGCAGAUGUGAUGCUUCCAACGUGCUGGAAGAUAAUGUUCACCUUAUGGAUGAGUAUGCGUGUAUAUGAGGGUAUGUUUCGUAAAAGAAAAAUGUGAUGAGAGCUUUUGUGCCUGCAAUACUGAGGCACAUAACAAAGUACCAAGAGGUGAUCUAGUCUAGAGGAAACAACUUAUCCCCCUGCAGAUGCAGAUGGAAGAUAAUGUUCAUUUAGAGUCGUAGAAAAAGGUAAAUGCUUUCAACAUUCUGAGAACACGAAAUUAAAAUAUAUAAAUAUAAUAUGACGUUAACACAUCAUAGGCAACGUGGAGAUUUUUUAGUGUGUACCACCAUUAUAUACGCUAUCGCUUAUAUAAAAACUAGCGCAUAUAUUUUGCCAAGCCAAAAUACUUGGCAUGGCUCCUGAUCGAAUAUCGUCACACCUUAUCCUUUGGCGUGGCAAACCUGCUAUGCCACAUGAAUUGGCAUGAAUGGGUUGGCUACGAUGCUAAUCCUAUUUGGCGCGCUAGGGAUAUUAUAGAGUGCAGUCAUGCUGGUAUAUAUGUGGUGGAUCAAACGCUGUUGUUCUAGUAAUUUUGUUUUCAAAAUAUUUCCUCCGUUUUAAAAUGCAGAUCAUUUCGGCAGAUUUAGAUAUAUAAUCUUUGCUAUGUAUCUAGACACAAUAUUUUUCUAGGUGUAUAAAAAAAUUAAGUAUAUAGAUUUAUCAAAAUGAUCUAAAUCUUGAAAUGAAGUAGUAGUAAGUAAGAUGGAUAAGAACUGUGUGAAGAGCCUUGGACACACACCGAUCGUGGAGAUGAACAACUGACAUGUAGCUCAUGUGCGACAGCAUCCCCAUUGUCUUACAUGUUUGUUUUACAUAAGCUUUUGCUUGUUUACACAAUUCUUUCUGGCUGAUUCCUAUAAAUUCUGACGAUUCUGGUUACUCAAAACCGUCAGUACGUGAGUGUCCUCCCUUCCUCCAUUGUAAGUCUUACAGUUCUGGUUGCCGAGCGUCUAUUAUAAGCAAUAAAAAUAUGUGGCAAUAUCUUUUCGGAUCGAGAGGCACUUUUCUGAUGUUCAAAUAUCCUGAAAAUGCAGGGCUUCAACGUUUACAGUAUCCUCCAGCAAUGACACGUACGUAUCCUUGUCAUGAUGACCCGGGACGCUAUCAACAGAAUUGUGGAGAGGAUGCACACACCCAUCAACCGCUACCCCAACAAAUACUUGUCAUGAUGACACGUACGUUGAUCAUAGAACUCAGCGUGCCUUACCGGCCGUGUCCAGUCCCUGCUACCGCAUGGGAGACAUCACCAACAUUUUCUUCAGUUACAUGCUGGUUGUUUGCAACAUGAUCACCUUGUCAGGAUCAACAUUGCCAUCACCUCUUCCACCUCUCGAGCACGCAACACCUCGUCAGUCUUUCACCGAAAGUUUCUGCUAAUAACUCUAGGGGCUACUAAUAACUCUAGGGGCUAGUUUGGAAGCCUAAAAUCCCGCUGGGAACCCGACCUUUUCCCGGGGCUGGAAGCCCGCGCGGAAAUUAACCCCGGGCUAAAUUACACGGCAAUUUGGGAGCCUAUCGGACGGGGGAGGUUGACCCGAACCCUGCGAUUUCCACGGGGCGGCUCCUCCCCACCUCGAGGGUCUGGGCAAGGAUUCCCGAGUGGCGUCGCGGGCGAUUCGUCGCGAUGAAAAGAAGGCGCCGCGCCGCCACCCCGCUUCCAUCCAGCGCCGUCGUACUGCCUCCGCCGCCCCGACUCCGUCGAGCGCCACCGCUCCAUCUCCGUCCCGGUGUCGCCGCUGCUCCGCCUCUUCCCCGACUCCGUCGAGCCCCACCGCUUCCCCGUCCAGGUGUCGCCGCGCCGACCUACAACGGGGCCUCCACCUCGGCCGGCUCCUCGCAGCUUGUGUUCCUCCUUGCUUAUGUGAGUUUCCUCCUUUCGUUGCUCAUAGAUAGUCAUGAUGCUCUCAAUCUCUAAUUGUAUUAGUUAAUGUAAUCACACACGCAGGCAGACACAGAGAGAACGAGAGAUUAAUCAAGCAGUCGAAUUUUGUUUGUGCAGGCAGAGUCCGUAUCAAUCAGGGCUUAUUAUCUUAUUCCUCUCUCCUAUGUGCAGACACAGAGGAAUUGAACUGAUCUUCCAUGUUUGUGCUAUGGCUUGUGGGUGUGAUGGGGGAUGUGUUGGGUGUUUGAUCUAAACUGCUGCUUGGGUUGGCAUCCUUGCAGUGCUGAAGGGAACUGGUUUGUGUCAGAAGUGGUCACAUGAACAUAUUAGUUUGUGUUAAUGUGGGAUUAAAAAGUUGCCCCAUGGUCUGAAAACCGUCUAACUCCUUUUCCUGUUUAUGCCUUUAUUACUUCAAACAUUUCCAGGGGUAGUUUGGGGCAUUAAUUUGCAUAGGUGAAUAAACAAUAAAAAAGAGAAAGUAUUGGUUUAGUCAGGAAGGCUAGCAUGUAGAAUUUCCAACACCCGGCACUGUUUUCAUGUUUUGAUAUGUUGCAUACCCGACUAAACAAAGAGGAAGGUCAAAAUUUGCUAGAUAUGCAAUUAUGUACUAGCAAAAAAUAAAGAAGAGAAAACAUUAGAGAUAGAUUAUCCAGAUGUCAAUCUCUGGAUGCAUAUGUAUGCUGCUUUACCUAAGAAAUUUUUCCGUGCUUCAUUAUCAGUUCUUUGGUUCCUUUCGAAUGGGAUGCAAAUUGGCUAGUACCACCCCUGUUAGUCAGCAGUUAAUUACUAGUUUUAUGUAGUGCUGAACAUGGAACAAGAGGCCGGUAAAGUGCUUAUGAUAUAGUGAACCAUGACUUGUUUGGUCGUGCAUCAUCAUUAUAUGAAAAUGUGUCUGAUUUAAUUUUCUCAUCACCAGAAAGCAGCCUAAGUAGCUCUGUACUGCAGUUCUGAGUGCAUCUUUCUGCAGAAAUGCUAGAGGGCAAAGUCACCUUUAAAUUAGGACCAACACGUUGCAUUUCCCACUGCUGAUGCUGCCCUGUCUGAUCAUACCACAACAGGGUCAUAUAGCUUCUUGAUCGCAACAUAAUCUGUUGUAGUGAGAAGUUUAGUUACAAGUAUAGUUCAGAAUGAAGUGUAGUUCACUCUAUACCAAUGCAUUAGUGAUGGCUUACUAUUUCAGUGAAAGGUAGCGAGUGCUCGUAGCACCUGGGGUUUGUGCAUCAGUUACAAGUACUGCCGUACUGGUAUAAGUUGUCUGCAGAACUGGUGUUUCAUUUUUUGCCUACUAUUACAUUGUGCACCAUUGUCAUGAGGUUUUAUUAUUGGUAUAAUUGCUGAUAUCUUAUGGAUCACACCAGCGAGGUGCUUCUUGAGGGCUUGACUAGCUUCUCCAAUUAGGUACUGUCCUGUCAUCUGUCAUUACAGUAUGCGUUGGUUAUGUCUGAUCCUGUCAGGUACUAACAAAAAUAUCCUUAAUUUAUUGAAUCAUCUGCAUUUGAGUGACAAGAACUACGUGGUUUUAAUACAAUUGGUCAGCAGUGUUUUCAUGCUUGGCCAAUCAUAUUUGAUUUGUAAUGUCAGCUUCACUUAGCUCUUUGCCACAAUUUCAGUUUUGUUUUAUUCCCUUGCUGCAGAAUAUUUUAGAUUUGCUCUUCAAAGAGUGCAUAAACCAUAUGAAACUUUCCUAGAAUGUGCAUACCAAUAUUGUUAAAUACAAGGAAUAAGGUCGGCCAUUUGUGUACCUUUUCUCAGUAAAUGCUAUUUUGAUAUUUCAUACAUAUGAGACGGCAAAUAUGAUUGGCCGCCCAUGUUAACAUCUACUAUGCCCUAUUACUUACCUCCUGAACCAUAGUUCUAUCUUGCUUGUCCAUAUUCAGUUACCAGUAGGGAUUGGUUAGUCAUCACAUGCCAUAGAUUAGCUUGUCCAUAUUGCUUACUGUUGAUCUAACUGCAGAUCUCAAUGAUCACUCUUGCAGAGGCGGUCAGAUGGCUGGAUAUCUACGUCUAUACCUUUUUUUAAGAAAAACUAAUUUGACUCUUGACAGACAUGCAAAUUGCAAAAAAAAACUACUUUCAGUUGUUGCCUUUUUGGGAAAAAAAUUAAGGAAAAGGAAAAUAAAAACACGGCAGCCAAUGUCACUGCCUUGCUUCCGAAAUUGCUUUUUGCAGGUCCGAUUAGAAACUACUCAAUGCAGGUUACCCAGCUCGUGAGAACUUUUGAGCUGUAGAAUAUACACAACGUAGAUUAGAUUAGACAGCGGCAGCACCACGCGCACUUCACGCCUAGACGUCGAUCAUAUUCACCGCCACGGCCACCUUCACCGCGUCCUCCUCCUCCUCCGGCUGCUUCGUCAGCUCCACGGCCCGCGUGAUCGCCGUGGCCGCCGCAGCGGGCGCCUCGCGCUUGUACUCGUGCCGGCUCGCGAAGCAGAGGAACCCCAGGAAGUUGAACACGCCGAGCACGGCGAGCAUCCAGUAGAACAGGUCCAGCCUCCCGUCGUCCAGGUCGUCCCGCACCCAAGCGCCCCCCGUGGCGGCGCCGACGGCGGCCACGAGCGCGCUGCUCAGGUAGAACCCCAUGGACAGGGUGGUGAGGAACAGGCCCGUGCUCAUGGACUUCAUCCGCUCGGGGGCCUCCCGGAUGAAGAACUCCAGCUGCCCGACGUACCCGAACGCCUCGCUGGCGCCCACCAGGAAGAACUGCGGCACCAGCCAGAACGCGCUGAUGGGGGCGCCGCCCGACGCGUCGCGGCGCUUCUUCUCGACGAGCGCGGCGGCGACCAUGGCAAUCGUGGAAAGGACCAGCCCCGUGCCCACGCGCUGCAGCGAGGCCAGGCCCUCUCGGCGUCCCGUGAAGCGGCGCGCGAGCGGGACGAGCAAGCGCUCGUUGAGCGACGUGAAGAGGAGGAUGGCCAGGUACAGGAAGACGGCCAUGGACCCCGCGGGGACGACGAAGCCGGCGCCGCCGACGCGGCGGUUCAUGCGCGACGCCUGCUCGAUCGUGAAGGUGUUCAUCUGGGAGUACACCGUCCAGAAGAGGAUGCAGGUGGACCAGAUCGGGAGCAGCUUCACCACCAUCUUCACCUCCUCCACCUCCGUCAGCGUCGGCCCCGCCGCCACCGCCGGGUGCUCCGACGCCAGGUCCACGUCCAGGAUUGCAGCUUUAUCCAGAAAGCUAUUCUUGCAAAAAUAAAAAAAAAUUGGAAAUAAAUGCUACAUCAUCGACAACUGCCACCAUGCAAAAGACAAAAAAAAACUAAAAGAAACAAAAAUUGUUCGUGUUAGGAUUCACAUAAUCUGUCGCUGUCAACUUUGAUGCUUGGAUAUAUAGUAUGUUGAUUGCCAUCGUUCGCUCCCCAAUUCAGUGUGUUUACCCUACAAAAUCUGCUGAAAGCAAGCAUGGACGGUGUGCUCUAGGCCGUUCCGGCAAAGUUUGUGCUAGCUGCGAAAAUCGUCCAUGGUGCUCCCAGAAACGCCCCAAGCUUUGAUCCGGAACCGUCAGUGCUACGUUUCUUUGGAGGAGAAGACUUUGUAACUUAGCAUGUCGGUGACCUCCCUUCAGUGCCCAAGUGCAAGUGAUUAGCUGCGAUCGACGUGAUUGGCCCAUGGACCUAGUGCAUUCAGUUUGGGGCUAAACUUUGGUCUUGGCUGUUUUCCUUGUCCUAGCAUGAUCUUACGUGUUGCAUUGGCAAGAUAACACGACUUUGUCUCUUCAGAUUCUCUUGUUCAUCAUUAUUUCGGCCGCCUUAGUCAGUAGCUACUUACAAAUAUGCUUCUAGCCUUCUACUAAUACACACAUUUACUAUAUGAAGUAUAUGAAACCCUUAUCAGUCCACGAUCCAAAUUACCACGUUUUCGUGAUUUGAUUUCUUCCGAUACUAAUAGCAAUCAAGAUUAGCCCCCCUUCUCAUGUCCUAUACUACAAAUACACAUCUGUCAUGGCAUCAUGAUUCUGUGUCAGUAGUCUAGCUAAUUAGCUUCAUGACAACUACUUUUGCUGCUUGAUCUACUACGCAGGCACGGCUGCUUCAAUUCUUAAUUCUGUGGCACCACCGCUUUACAAGAUUAAUGAUCGUAAAAACUUUGGAAGCCAGUAAUUAUGCUAUCUGCGCACGAGUAAGUUAAAGACAAGUACUAGAUCGAUUGGUAAAUUCGCGUCAAAAGUAUACGAAAAAGCAAAGUAACGCGACGUGCAGUGAGACUGCACGGGUGUUCGAUAAUUAAUUACCUGAGCCUGUCGGUGUGCGGCACCUUGGCCCUGCUGAAGCCGCGGAGCUCGCUGGCGUCCGUGGGGCAGGGCAGCUUCCGGUUCCGCCACGCCGCCCAGAGCACGCGGCCGAUCACCGUGAGCGGGCUCCCCUGGGGCCUCCGGUACCGGUACCUCCGCGAGCCGGCCACGAACACCGCCGUGGCGAGCGCCAUCACGACCGCCGAGACGCCGUACCCCCAGGUGCGGCCGACGUUAUCCUGCACGUACACCAGCACGGUGGUGGCGAAGAGCGAGCCCAGGCUGACCAGGAAGUAGAAGCGGCUGAAGAAGAAGACCUCGGCGCGGCCCUCCCGCGGGUCGCGCCCGUCGAACUGGUCCGUGCCCAGCCCGGACACGUUCGCCUUCAGCCCGCCCGCGCCCACCGCGAUCGUGUACAGCGCCAAGUACAGCAGCGCCAUCUGCCUGCCGCUCGCCGGCGCGCACCCGCCGGCCGCGCCGCCGUCCGCCUGGGCGCACGGCGGCGGCCGCAUCCCGGGCACCGCCGUGCUCGCUGCUAGCAAGGCCAACCCCUGCAAUGAAGCGACCGAUCAGCAGAGACCACAGCACGAGAUCUCGAGAUGAUGCGAAACACGUUGAGUUUUCACGUACGAUGGUGGCGACUGUGGCGGAGGCGGCGAUGGUGCGGUAGCGGCCGAGCUUGGCGUCGGCGACGAAGCCGCCGAGGAAGGCGAGGAGGUUGAGCGUGCCCAUGAAGUUGGUGACGAUGUUGGCCGACUGGGCGUUGGAGAGGUGCAGGGCGCCGACGAGGUACGUCACCAUGUUCGUCGAGACGCCCAUCACGCCCACCCGCUCGGCGAGCUCCGUGCCUGGAACACCGGGACAGCAUCAUCUCAUCAGAAACACGCACGAGCGAAACAUGGCAAGCAUCAGUACGUACCGGCGAUGAGGGCGGCGGCGAGCCAUCCGCCGGUCCUGGACUUGUCCACCGGGUCGCCCAUGUAGUCCACCACCACCAAGCCGUCGUCGUCGGGGCCAUUGCCGCCGGCGUCGUGGCCGCCGACGAUUCCGCCGGCGGAAACCUCACGCAUUGGAAUUCCGCAAAGCCACAAACUACAGCUAGUUGUGCAGCAACGAGAUACCAACCAUGAUGCCGACGAGGAGCUGCUCCCGGGCUGGUAUUUGUUUUCCGGACGAGGGACGGCGGAUUGUUUGGGAAGUUGCAGACCGUAUCAACCUCCAUAUUGGCCGUGCACCGUUACACCAUUGCUGUUCUUAACCUUGUUCCACACGAACUUGUACUCGACACAAUCCGAUAAGAUAUUCCCAAAAGACCGUAUGGUUCUGGAUGCUUGCUAGUACGACUCGUACACUCUGACUGCAGGUUGGUAGUUUGACGAUGCCACGAGUCAGAUUGUCCGAUCAAUACUGUCCUCAAUUUGCAUGCCACAGGAAUACUUCGCCGGAUCGAUUGAGAAUGUUUUCCAUCAACCUCUUUUUGGAGGGGCCACUGGGCACGUAAGUACUGAUAAAUCAUCGAGGUAGUGUUCAUUGGAUUUGCGUAGGACAUGUGCAAUGCAAAGAUAAGAUAUUUUGUUGUUACACGAGUAAGAACCUGUAGAAAAGCUGGUCUCUACAAUACAAAUAAGUGCUUACACAUGCUUAGUCACUUUAUUAGCAUACAUAAAGCGCCUUGUGACUUAAGUAUCCUAUCCACCUUAUGGGCAUCUGUUGCAAAUGACAUGGUGAAAAAAAAAAUCGGUUUUCCUCAUAUAAUCACAAUGAUCGGCAUUAUUGUCCAUGCCCUUAUCCUUGGUGUUGUUAAUUGGGCUCGUUCUCUGGUGGGCCCCCAGCCUCUAUUCAACAUGGGCUUGCUUCGUAGACGGCUCGGUGCGUGCGCGUUUCUUCACGGCCCAACGGGCCUCUAACGAUACGGGCACCGUCGCAUCGCACCGACGACGACGUCCCCGUCUCCGUCCGAUUCUUCUCCUGCUGCGGCAACGCGUGCGUGAUGCCUCCGCAACCGCGGCCCGGUAUAUUCCAAUCCCCACGCCUCUAUCGACCCACCCAAAGCAGAGCUGUUCGACUCGCCGAGUACACACGCGCGAAGCGCGAGCCAAACCCUACCCCCCAGCCGCGACCCCGAUCCCCCAACCUCGUCGGCGAUGAGCUCCUCCUCCAACGGCGGGAAGAAGCCGGCGACCGGCGGCGGCCGCGGGGGGCCCACCAUCCGCACGCUCGCCGACAUCAACCGCGGGCCCGCCGGCUUCCCCGGCGCCGGGGGCAGCGGCAGCGACUCCGACGAGCCCCAGGAGUACUACACCGGCGGCGAGAAGAGGUAUAUCUCAGUCUCUUUCGGCGGGUUAUGUUGACCGAUUGGCUUUACUCGUAGGAUUUCCUGGCGAUCGUGCGUGCGGGUAUGGGAAUCGCAGCCUCUUAAUUUUCUGAUCUAUUAGGUCCUCUCGUUAGUGUGAGAAGGGGAUUCCGGGUGAAUUCGUUGGAUUUGGUUUAUUCGGCGUUUCCAUCUGUUAGUUUUGCGUGGAUUUGCUUUUGAUUCCCAUGCGAGCUGUGCGAGUUAUAGGGCAACUGUCUGAGCGGUAGCAGCCUAUCAGUUGCAACAUACCAAAAAAUUGAGUUGAGUUUUAUGUGCGGUACUACUUUUUAGUCGGAAUUUUGCACGACUGGAUUGCGUUCUGCAUGAUUUGGGUGUGAGUGUGCUUGUUUAUUUUGGAUUAUGCGAUAUUUCUGUCCAUGGAAAGUCACCAGGUGAAAAAUGUGAAUCAUCCACACUUAGACUACUAGUAAGCUGCAUGCUCUUUGCGCCUUGGAACAAAAUCAAUGCUCUUUGCAGCUGUUGGAUAUUAAAACUUGUGCUACAUACUCUGACCGAAAUUUAAUAGUGAAUUAUAUAUCCACCUAUACCAUGCAUCCCUCAAAACAUGAUGGAAAAUUGUUCUACACAUGUAGCUAUGUGCUAGCAAAAAUAUUUCUUUUAUGCAAAUCUUGUUGUGUUUAAACCCUUAGUUUAUUUAUUUAGGUUGCCUUGAAAUUCAACUUUAUGUGACUAUUUUGAUUGUGAUUUGAUGUAAUGAGUCAUAAACAUUAGGUGUGGGUAAGAAACACUGAACAUAGCCACUGAAGCCUGAAGGUACCGAAAAUUGUUAUCAUAGAUGUCACGUCUAAGUAGUUUAUUUGAAUCAGCAAAAAAGUUGUUUUGAAGUUACAAUAGAGGAUACAUGCCCUAGUAAUUUCUUUGCACACAUUGCUUGAUUAUUUCAAUUUUAGUAUAGCAUGAUGUGCACCAUGAUUAUUUGAAAGAAAGAAAAACAAUAUGUGCCUGGUUUUUAGGCCGGUUCUUUCAGUCUUAAAUAUGUAGAAUCUGGUAGCACUAAAACAUAUACUGAUUUGGUUGGCAUUCUUGGAGGGGGGACUUUAUGUGGGAGGCCAAAAAAAAGGAGAAUUCCUAAUAGUUGCACUUGCACCUGAGCUUCUUGUUUUUUUAAAGCUUUCCUACGGAGUGAAGGCCUAUCGGAAAGAAAGUAAUAUUCAUAAUUAGUGUCCCAUGUAAAAGCUGUUUUACUCUUUCCUUGGAUGUACAGACAACAUGACCCUAUAUGGUGCAUUGUCUGGUAAAUGCAAAGGCAUCCUUUUCUACUUAUGGAGCCCACUUUGUUCCCUGCAGACUUAAUGCAAAACAUUGAGAAGUAGAUCAUCAUAAUGUUUAGUCUCACAAAUGGCUUUAGAGAAGAUCUCCACAAUUUUUAGAUUAUUUUUUUGUUCAAGUUUUUUAGGUUGAUCUUGUGUUCUUUCAAGUAAUUUUUCUUUGUAUGCGUGCAGUGGGAUGCUUGUUCAAGAUCCAACUAGAAGGAAUGAUGUGGACUCAAUCUUUGAACAAGCCAGGCAGACGGGUGCUAUCCAAGCACCACCCCCUUUCCUUGAUAACCAGUCUUCCAGCUCGAGGAGCUUUACAGGGACCGGCCGACUGCUUUCAGGGGAGACAGCACCAUCUGCUGCGCCUGCGGCUGCACCUGCAUCUCAGGAACCAGUUCACAUACUCCACGUCAUACACUUGUGGAACAAUGGUUUCAGUGUAGAUGACGGUCCACUGAGAGCCUAUGAUGAUCCUGAAAAUGCAGAAUUCAUUGAGGUGAUUCCUUCUACAUAAUAUUUCUGGAUAACUUUAUCUAUACCAAGUACUCCCUCUGUUCUCAAGUAGAUACGUAUAACAAUGUGUCGUCAAACUCUAGAAACUUUGACCACUACUAUAUGAAUAAGUUCAAAAAUUGUUGCAUAAAAUGGCACUAGUAGAACAAUGGUCAAAGUUUUUGAAUUAUAGACUGAAGAAAUGUCAAAACCAACAAGUAAAUUGGAGGGAGCUUGUUGGAUACUGCAAGCCACAAUCCACAAUCUACAAGCUGAAACUAACAGGGCUUUAAUACAGUUUAUCAUGUUGAAAAUGCCAUCAAUUCCAUUAGUCAUUCGACCACUUUCUUGGGCCCAAUAUCUGGUUCACCUCAUGUGAAACUCAAACUUUGACUCGAAAUAUGAGCUGGAAUCUCAAAAGCACCCUUAAGUUAACUCAUUAAAAGUUGACACAGACCUCAGGCUUACUGUGCCACUGUAUUGUGCCAGGGAAAAAAACAUAAAAUGGUUUGGCUGCAUUGCUGGUUCUCUGUGAUUUUCUUUUCCCUGAUACGCAUGUCUUGUACAGCAUAAUGUUGGGCUGUUCCGUUUGUUCUCUUUCAAUAUAAAGAUUUGGUGAGCUGUUAUUUAAGUUGUUGGUUAAGUAUUGUAACAGAGUAUCAUGGACUGUUUGGCUGCCUUUUUUUAUCUUUCUGUAGAUCAUGUAAAUGUAAAUAUGAAUAACGUGAUUGCUGAGGCUUAAGAUGUCCCAGUGUAAGAUUUCUGUAGUUCUUCAUAGCUAAAGGAAUUCAUGCCAACUGUGCCUUUGUUUGGUUUUCAGAGCCUUAAGAUGUCCCGGUGCCCCCAGGAACUGGAGCCUGCUGACAGAAGCACACCAGUUCAUGUGAAUGUUAUGAAAAGACUUGAAGAUUACCAGGUAAGUUCUCCACCCUUCGUCCAUUUAUGGCUGACCUAGUUGCAUUCUCAAUACCUCCAGUACAGUACAUCUAUCCUCUCUUGUCUUGUUCAUGUAGGAACCGAUAAGGCCCCGAUCAGCUUUCCAGGGUGUUGGAAGAACACUUGGAGGUGGACUUUCUACAGAUGAGAGUUCAGCACCUGCUCCUGCUUCAGCGCCCCCUGCUGCUUCGAGGUCCACCAGCUUCGUUGUGGAUGACUCCCAGCCAUUUACAUCCAUACAGCUGAGGCUGGCCGAUGGCACUCGCAUGGUUGCCCGGUUCAACAUGCACCACACUGUGGGCGACAUCAGAUCCUUCAUUGAUGCAUCCCGGCCUGGAGCUGCGAGGCCAUAUCAGCUGCAGACUGGCUUCCCACCCAAGCAGCUGACCGACCCAACCCAGACUGUUGAGCAAGCUGGCCUGGCGAACUCUGUUAUCAUGCAGAAGAUCUAAUGCUUCACCGAGCUGGGAACCCAGAUGCAUAAUGCGUCUUUUGAAACUUGGUAUCGUCGAGUGGUUGGUAACCGGCCUAUUGCCGUGUCAGCCUCUUUGACAACCUAUCAGAGUUUAUAAGUUGUCAGUGAACAUGUAUACAUUCCUAUUUACAGCAACUACUGAAGUACCACAUUGACAUUUUCUGCGUCUGGUUAAUUGUUAUUGACGUUUUCUACAUCUGCCGCAUCCAUAAAAUAUGCCUUGAAAAUAUUUUUUAUGUUAUAAAAAUAUUUCUCUAACAAUUUGAGUUGAAUGUAAGACAAAUUUAGAGUAAAGUAUAUCCCUUUAGAACGAAAGGGAUUAGCAUUCAAAUAUGACGAAAGGGAGUAGCAUUCAAAAAUGACAAGAUCGAUAACGAGCAUGGCUCAAAAUUCUAUCUCUGAAUAUGCAUUUGCUACAAUAAGAAAACAAAACGUAACGACAUAUAACAUCUAUAUAUCCGUACUAGAUAAGUUUCAAGUCCGACAAGGCGACAGUGAGGGGUCUCAAUUUGGAUCUUUGUAACUGGCAUUUAAAACCCCCGCGGCAAGGCCUCAAACACGCGAACUCUUUUUUAUACGCACUUACUUUCUUCUUGUUUUUUUUGAAAAUUCGGGUAUGCAAACGAUAACAUUGAACCCUCGAUCAUGAAACAUGAGGAUAUAUACGGGUCAUUCAACCACUAAUACCAAGGGUCACACGCGUGGUGACAGUAGACAGGUCACACAGGGCCCAUCAACUGCCCACCACCACCGCUACCGCUCGCCGCACCGCCAAGGUAGAGGAGGAGUGGAGCAGCCGCCGGAGGUGGGGGGAGCGGCCACCGACGAGGUCGUGCGGCGGCCAGGGUGGUGGUCGAGGUGGCGGGGUUAGGAUUUCGGAUUGCCGGGCUUUCAAUGGGCGGCUGCUAUAGAAAGGGGAGGUUGGGGGCGACGGCAGCCCAGCGGUGGUGGCGGUUCGGCCGCCGGCGGAGGCGAGGAGGCGCGGGAACGCCGCUGGCCGAUCAGGCUGAACUCCGGUGGGCGGUGGCCGGCGGCGGGGAUAGGAAGAAGGCCAAGGCUACGGCGACGCGGCGAUAGGUGGUGGGUGGGCGGGCAGCGCGGCGACGGUGGCCACCAGCUGGGGCGGUGGACAGGGGGCAGAGGUGGUAGUCAUCGGAGGAAAAAGAUGAAGAGAGAUGGUGGAGAUGGUGGAGACUUGUGUGAUGAUUUAGAUCGCAGUCACACGGGUUACCACUGACAGCCCCCUCAUUCAACAACACGCAUCUGGAGGCACCGGUCAUCCCCUUCCUUCGUCUCCCCCCUCCUCUCCACGCCUUAUCCUCCUUGAGCCUGCUAUCCGCCACAGCUCAGUUAAACUCAUCUUCUCCCUCCACUCCCAGGUCCCAACCCACCAUUCCUGGUUCCCACGUGACAAAUGCUCAUCUCAUUCUCUCCGCACCCUUCCCUUCUUCUCUAAAUCUCUCCCUCCCUGCCACUUGCGCGCCUCCAAACCCCGCGCCCGCCUCCGUCCUAUCCACACCUUCGCCUCUGCGUCCCCCUCAUCGGAGCUCCUCGGCAAAUCGGCGCUCCGCCGCAUUUUUGACAAGCUCCGCAGCCUCAGCUAUCUCCUCGAGACCGGCUCCGAGACCCCGCUCCGGCCUGUACAUCUGCGGGCACCCCCCCUCGCCGGCAAGAUCUUCGUGCCCACCCUAGCCCAGAUCCCGCGGUAGCGCCACCGCGUCAGCUCCAACCUAGACUCGGGCUGGGCCACGGCUUACGGCGAGGGCGGCUCCGUGGCGCAGCGGCGGUGGAGGAGGCGCGGGAGGGAUGCUGCGCUGCCGCGGGAUGGUUAUUUGCAAAAAUACCCUAUUAUUUUUAUUUACACCCCUGGUUUGGAUUGCGAUUAUUAAUCGCGAUCCAACUAUUUUCAUUAUACUCCCUGUUUUGGAUCGCGAUCCGUUUAUUUGCAUUUGGGACCCUAAUUUGGUUAUAAAUAUUUCCAUAGAGCCCCUUGGUUUGACGGACCCUCCUCUCUUCCGGCUCCUCCAGCCCGCCGGCUGUGGCCGGUCACCAUUCGCGCCGCCGCUGAAGUCCGCACCCACCUCCACCCCCCCCCCCCCCACCCCACCCCCACCCACCCUAGUGCGAUUCGCUCCCCAUGUUCCCGCCGCUUUCGCACCUCCGGCGCCGCGUCCUCGCCGCAGCCCCUGAACUCCUCGCCCCUCUCUUCUUCCGCUGCCUCUCCACCGCCACCGCACCGGCAGCCCGCAAACCGACUACCGCUGUGGCCGUCCUCUGGGACCUGGCCGCGUCGAGUCCCCCAACCACACUGCCCCUCUACGACGCCGCCGUUCGCCUCCACCUCUCCGCCACCUCCUUCGGCCGCCUCCGCCUCUCCGUGGCCUUCGUCCACCCGACCCACCGCCUCCCGGCCCCCGCCGCGCCCGCCGCCACGACCCACCUCUGCCGCGUCUGUGGGCGCCGCUUCCGCGCCCGCGACGCCCUGCUGCGCCACUUCGACGCCAUCCACGCCCGCGAGCACGCCAAGCGCCUCGCCCGCAUCGACUCCUCCCGUGGCGACCGCCGCGUGCGCCUCGCCGCCGCGCUCUCCCUCAAGCUCUCCAAGUACGAGAAGGCCGCCCGCGAGCUCACCGCGGGCGCGGACGCCGCCGCCACCCCCGCAGACGAGCUCGGCCGCGCCGGCAUCCGCGUCGCGCUCACCCGCACGCCCGCCGCGUCCUUCCGGGAGCGCGCACAGCAGGUGCUCGACGAAGGGUCCGUGGGGUGCCUGAUGCUGGUCUCUGGCAAGGACGAGCUCGCCUCCCUACUGCGGGUGGCGAGGGAGAGGGGCGUGCGGUCGGUGGUGGUCGGCGGGGAGUCCGGGCUGGCGAGGUGGGCCGACGUGGGGUUCAGCUGGGCGGAGGUCAUCUCGGGGAAAGCCAGGAACGCCGCGCCGUCAGUGUCCGGCAAGUGGCGUGACAGGGACGUGCUCAAGGGGCUGGAGUGGAGGUACGAGGAGGCAGACGACGAGGAAGAGCUGGUGUUCGAGGACAGCGACGGCGAUGGGGUCGAGGAGCUGGCACGGAAUGCGAAGGGGAAGCCGUGGUGGAAGCUGGAAUCUGACGACGAGGACUCCAACGUUGGUGGUUGAACGAUGAUGAUUGGCACGGAAUGUGUUUGCCCGUUUGCCGCUUGGAAUCCAUCAGUGGAAGCAUGGAUCUUGGCACACCGCACGCCAGUGGAGUCAUGAUCAUGGAAGUGUAGAAAGAAUUUGUGCUUAAUUGUUGUGGUUGCCUCUAAUGAUCUUGUAACUUGGAAGAGUACACCUGUGCGCUAUGUAUCAACGACUGUCAUACUGAAAUUUGCUAUACAGAGGGAAACCGCAUAUUAGCAUGUUCCUAUCGAUUAUGCAAUCUCUAAAUCUGCACUCUGCAGACAACCAAAUUGGAUUACAUCCUACAAGGUUCAGUACCAUCCAGCGGGUCAAGCCAAAUGUGCUGUCGCGGCCAGAUUCCGGCCAGCCCGCUCCAGGAGCGCCAGCAUCCCCUCGCACUCCGCGAUGAUGGCCUUGUCGAGCCCGCUCCGGAUCACGGGCGCGAAGAAGAGCCACGACCCGGUCCCCGUCACGAACGCCAGCGUGAGCGCCGUCGCCACGGGGCGCGGCGGCCGCCACAGCCCGCUGCCCCGCCACCGCCGCUCGGCCACCACGCACGCGCCGUGCAACGCGAAGAAGGCGGUCACCUCCCCGGUCCCGGCCUCCAGCGUGAUGUAGUAGAACAUGACCUCGUGCAUGGCGCCGGACACGAGGAACGCCGCGAGCACGCCCGCGGCGGCGCCGAGGCGGGCGCGCACGGGGCGGUACACGCAGGGCCGGAGCACGCCCGGGACCAUGAGGUUCCACCGGCGGCCCCAGAAGUCGCCGAAGGAGGAGGCGAGGUACGGCCGGUCGAACUGCGGCUCCAGCUCCGCGCCCAGCAGCGCGCGGGCGAGCGCCGCGGCGGACGCGAGGAAGAGCUCGAGCAUCAGGUACACGUGCGUGCCGUCGAACACGGGCACGGCGUACGGGGGCAUCCGCUCCCUGUAGCACCGGGCGGAGACGAGCGCCGCGAAGAGCGCCGCCUUGGCCGCGUAGGACAGCAGGGAUCCGGAAGGGAGAGCGCGGGACGGCUGCUGCUGCUGCUUCUCGUCCCGGACCUUGACGGGCAGCGCGGCGCACGCGACGAAGCGCACGAGCGGGAGGGCGGGGUGGAGCGGCCCGUGGCCGGCGGCGAGGAGGAGGAGCUUGAAGCCGCAGAGCCAGACGAGGAAGAAGGCGGAGAUGGUGCGGAGGUGGAUGGAGGCGAAGGCGAAGGGGAGGGCGGGGAGGAGGAGGAGCACCGGGAGGAGCGCCGCGAGGCGGGGGAUUCCGGGGCUCAAGCGCGCGGUGGCGAGUCGCGCGUAGGAGAGGGCCCCAGCCGCGGCGACCGAGACCACGGCGAGGCCGGCUAGCUCGGACGCCAUGCCCGCCUUGCCGCCUAGCCCUCGUUCGUUGACCGCGGCGGCCGCCGGCUGAUCGAGAUCCGGGUGAAGUCGCGCGAUGUCGAUCGAACUGGCCAUGGAAUACAUUAGUAGAAAUGGGGAUCAAAAGAAAGAAUUGAAAAUACAUCAUGUGCCACGCAUUCCGUAUGCAUCUGAAACUGCCGUGUCUUCUCCACCCUCGUGUCGUGUGAUUGGCGUCCAAGUUGUCGGGCUUGAGCAUGACCAUGACGACGAUGCCAUUGGAACUGGACGGUGGUGGCGACCCGCAGUGAUGGCAGCAUGGCGGAGCUGUGCCAGUAACGACGGUGACGUAGAUGAGAAUGCUGACACUACAACCGGACGGACAAGUUUGAACCUGAUCUCUGAUUCGCCCCGUCGGUACACGCAGACAGAGGUAUCUCCUGCUAGAGUGCUCAGUCCCCUAGCGUAUCACCAUACGUGAUCUCUCCCUCGCCUCCUAGCAGACGUGGCAUGUGGCCCAGGCCUGACAGCUGGGAUCAUGGUCUCCGGACCCUCCCCGAGCUCUCUGAGGUUCAGGACCUCCGCAUGCCACGAAAGGCAAGGGAGCUCUUGAGUAGCCCCCGCGGACCCGGACUCUCUAGGAAGAUCCGGAGCCGCCACGUGUGAUGGUCGGACCGCUCCAACCGGCCUCAGGGGCCCGGACCCCCACCCUCCGGGGAGGGGUCCGGUGCCGCCAUGUGCCGCCCCUGUGGAAGGAGCAGGGCUGGCCCUGACACAUGCGUGUGGCAGGAGGCCCUUCGCGGGUCUCCAGCCCACCUACCAGCAUUUAAUGCGGUAGCUGGGCCGGGCGCGCCCAAGUCAAAAAGUGCGGCCUGCCCAUGACACACGGGGAGAUUGGCUGACACCACGGUAAGCCCGCCUGUUACCAAGGUGGCGCGUCGUAUCACCAUCACUGUGCGCAAGCGGCGUGCAGUCCCGUCACGGUGUGGCGCGCAGCGUGAUGAUGGCCUGUAACAGGUGAGCUGAGGCGUGCGCUGCUACAGCGCGCGCGGAGGCGACGGCCCGACGGGUCAGCACUACCCCCACGCCUGUCAGAGUCGCACCCAACAGUGGCAGCACAGCACCACUGUCAGGUAACACUGACAGCGGUCACUGUGCUUGCAGGUCAGCACACGACCAUAUCCAAGUUGUGGAUAUGCACACUAUCUUCCCAACCGUGAAUGCUACAACGGGGAGCUGGAGAUGGAGAUCUCCAUAUCACUUAGAAUAGGCUCCUGUUGGCCGGGCCCGCCUGUUGGGGCUCCGCACAGUGUAAGCACUCCCCUAGAACUAUAAAAGGGAGAGUGCACUCGUUAGAAAUAGGAUUUUUUUUUCAUAUACAUGAACACAAAUCCAGGAUUUACACAGUCAAUACAACACCAAAGUGGACGUAGGGUAUUACACUCCGGCGGCCCGAACCACUCUAAAUCCUUGAAUCCUUCCUGCAUUCAUCCACGCAUCGAUCGAGCGCUCAUAAGUCUCCUCCAAACCCAUCCUUAACUAGGAUUAGGCGGGUGCAUUCCGCCACCCGGCUGGAGAUUUUCUCCGACAUUUGGCGCGCCAGGUAGGGGCUUAGAUUUGGUUUGCGCUUGUUCGACCUUCACGACCUCAAUGGCGCAGAAAGAUGGUCGCAACGACCACCUGUUGGGCGAGGAAGUGGCGUCCAUGACGCCACAUAUUUCCCGUCGUCCAACAUCCAGGGCGGCGCGAGCAGCUCCGCAACGCGCUGUGGCGCGCGCUUCAGUGGCCUAAUCGGUGCCCGCACCGAAUGGACCGCUCGUGGCAGGUAGGGAGUUGCUCCACAACCCCCCUGGAGAGGCGGCCUCGCCUGACGCCCAGAGGCAAUGGCGUGACGACGUCGACCGCCUCGUCAACCUGGCACAGUCUUCUCCAUGUUCAGCGGGGGUGUCUGCCUCCAGACAACGCCGUCAUCAGGGCGGCGCAACCGGCUCUGUGCACUCACCAUCAGUGAGGAGUGCACGGACCGAGAACCUCCGGGCGGAGCUCAACCGCAGACGUGCGGGAGAGGACGCCCGUGUCUCCAUUGAGCGGGCGCGUGGUCGCCGGCUCAGUAUCGAGGGUCGCGACCUCGAUGCCGAUUUUGCUGUGGUGGUUCCGGCUCCGCAGGGACUUGCCCAGGCACCAGUGUCCGGGGUGGGCUGCGCCGCGCUCGCAGACCACCUUCGCGCGGUCGUCUGGCCGUCCAAGUUUCGGCCACACCUGCCGGAAAAGUACGACGGGUCCUCCAACCCGUCAGAAUUCCUGCAGGUUACUUCCAUGUAGCCUUGACCGGGCCAGUCCGAACCUGGCUCAUGAACCUUACUCCGGGAUCUAUCCGAUCCUGGGGUGAGCUGUGCGCACAGUUCACGGCAAACUUUGCCAGUGUGUAUCAGCAGCACGGUGUGGAGGCCCACCUCCACGCUGUGAGGCAGCAACCCGGAGAAACCCUCCGGGCCUUCAUCUCCCGCUUCACCAAGGUACGUGGAACGAUUCCGCGUAUCUCCGACGCAUCUAUUAUCACGGCUUUCCGACAGGGGGUCCGUGACGAGAAGAUGCUGGAGAAGCUGGCGACCCACCAGGUGGAAACCGUAACCACCUUGUUCGCUUUGGCGGACAAAUGCGCCAGGGCAGCAGAAGGCCGUGCAUGGCACUCUGCAACCCAGGCAGGAGCCGCUCAGACAAGUGGGCCCAGUGUCGCUGCCCCUGACAGUGGCAAGAAAAAGAAUAAGAAGAGUCGUGGCUUCGACAAGUCACGGAUCAGAGGCCCGGCUGUUGCAGCAACAACGACCGAGGGCCAGAACCCCCGCAGCAAGCGCCCACGACAACAGCGCACCGACCCCGGGUCGUGCCCUGUUCACCCUGGGGCCCGUCACAGCGCCACCGAGUGCCGCGAGAUCCAGAAGCUCGCGGAGCGCCUCAGCAAGAGGCGCGACCAAACCUCAAGGGAAGGCACCUCCCCUCCGCGGCGGUCCGGCAAGGAGAAGGUCUCCGACGCCGAUGCGGCCGUAGCGGAGAGGGAGCUGGGGUACCAAACCCCCAACAAAGACCUCAAGGGUCUCUUCCACCAGUCCCACUCCGAAUCCGGUAGUGACGAGCGUUGCAAGAAGCUGUUUGUGAUGUACGGCGGCAGCUCGGAGCUCGCCUCCCGGCGGGACGUCAAGACCCUCCGCCGAGAGGUCCUCUCUGUGAAGCCGGCGACGCCGAAAGCGGCGCCGCACCAGCGGUGGAAGAACACCACCAUCUCCUUCGGGCCAUCGGACUGCCCGGAGAAUAUGGCAGGAGCUGGUGUGCUGCCGCUUGUCACGGCACCCACCAUCUCCAACGUUCGCCUCCACCACGUGCUGAUCGACGGGGGUGCCGGCCUCAGCGUCAUCAGCUAUGCAGCGUUCAAACACCUGCAGAUCUCGGAGUCCAAGCUGACUCCUUCACGCCCAUUCUCCGGAGUGGGCCCAGACCCAGUGUACCCGGUGGGGACCAUCUCCCUACCGGUUACAUUUGGGACAGAGGAUAACUUCCGUACCGAGAACGUGUAGUUCGAGGUUGCCGAGGUUAACCUCCCCUUCAACGCUAUCAUUGGCAGACCGGCCCUGUACCGGUUCAUGGCCAUUGCCCAUUACGGGUAUCUGGUCCUGAAGAUGGCUUCUCCGGCAGGCGUCCUCACCGUCCAGAGCGACCGGGCCGCUGCCGUCGUGGCGGUCGAAAAGCUCCAUGCGCUGGCACCAGGGCUUGCCCCUGCAGCUGGCGCCUAGGGGUCCGACCCCUCCACCUCGCGUGCCAAGGCCCUGGCCAAGGCACCUAAGGUCCGUCCGUCUGACACGGACGAUGUACCCGUGAAGACCUUUCAGGUCGGAGUGGAGACCUCCCAGACCACCCGCAUCGGUGGGAAUCUGGGAGAGAAAUAGGAAAAAACGCGCUCAUCACCUUCCUCCGAGCAAAUGUUGACGUGUUCGCCUAGGAACCGUCACAGAUGCCCGGGAUCCCUAGGAGGUGAUUGAGCACCAUCUGAAGAUCCACCCCGGCGCCAGGCAGGUCCGGCAGAAGCCACGCAAGCAGUCCAUCGAGCGGCAAAACUUCAUCCGUGAAGAGGUCCGCAAGCUGCUGCAGGCUGGCUUCAUUGAGGAGGUCUACCACCCAGUGUGGUUGGCCAAUCCUGUCGUGGUCCCGAAGGCAAACGGGAAGCUUCGGAUGUGUAUCGACUACACCAAUCUUAAUAAGGUAUGUCCAAAAGACCCUUAUCCACUUCCGCGUAUAGAUCAGAUUGUAGACUCCACCUCCGGGUGUGAUUUGCUGUCCUUCAUAGAUGCCUAUUCUAGUUUUCACCAGAUUAAAAUGGCUGAGGAUGAUAGGAAGCAUACAGCUUUUGUAACAGUGGAUGGUCUUUAUUGUUAUAUAGUAAUGCCUUAUGGAUUGCUUAACGCUCUACCUACCUUUGCUCGAGCAAUGAACAUCACUUUAGGUGAUUUGAUUAGAGAAAUAGUUGAGGUGUAUGUUGAUGACAUUGUUGUCAAGACUAGAGAGUCAAAUUCUCUCCUAAAAAAUAUAGCUCAGAUCUUCAACAAGUUACGAGCGACCUCCACCAAACUUAACCCCGAGAAGUGCGUCUUCGGCGUAUCGGCGGGUAAGCUCCUUGGUUUCUUGGUCUCCCACCGGGUAAUCGAGGCCAACCCGGAUAAGGUCCGGGCGAUUGACGCAAUGAGGCCCCCUGCGCGCCUCAAGGAUGUACAGAGGUUAACGGGGUCCCUUGCAGCCCUCAGCCGUUUCAUUUCAAGGCUGGCGGAGAGGGCGCUCCCUUUCUUAAAGUUGAUGAGGGGGUCCAGUCCAUUUGCAUGGACUGAAGAGGCAGAACGUGCCUUCCAGGAAAUGAAGCAGUACCUCACCUCCUUACCGGUGCUGGUCGCACCGGACCCAGGGGAGACGCUGUUUCUCUAUCUUGCAGCGACGGCCGAGGUGAUCAGCAUGGUGCUGGUCACGGAGAGGCCCGAGCAUCUCCCGCCCGGUGCCCCCGCAGACCCCCCUGCAGGAGAAGGAGGUCCGGCCUCCACCGCUCCAGCAACCGGCCCUACUUCGGAGGGAUCGGCCGGGUCCCGACCCGGAGAAGCCCUAAGCAACAUGAGGUCCGACGAGUCCCCAGCUCAAACAGAAGGAUCCAGUCCUCCUGGCAAAGUCAGAACCGUCCCGAAGCCGGUCUACUACGUCAGUGAGGUCCUUCAUGAGGCAAAGAACAGGUAUCCUGAAACACAUAAGUUUCUUUAUGCUAUACUCGUUGCGUCCAGGAAACUCCGCCACUACUUCCAGGCCCACAAGAUUGUGGUGGUAACCUCCUACCCGUUGAGGGCCAUCCUCCACAACUCCAACGCCACGGGCACCAUCGCCAAGUGGGCAGCUGAGCUCGCAGAAUUCCAGCUUGACUUCCAGCCAUGCCAUACUGUCAAGAGCCAGGUUCUUGCUGAUUUCGUCGCAAAGUGGAUGCCAUCGCCUAACGUCCCUGGGGGUCCGGGUGACGGCUCGGACCCCCCACGUCCAGAAGUCAGGGCUCCGGUUUUCACCAAACCUCACUGGACACUCUUCUUCGAUGGGUCCGCCCGUAGCAAGAGGGCAGGGGCAGGCGUGGUCCUUAUUGACCUAUGUGGCGAGCAGUUGAAGUGCAUGGUGCACCUCGACUUUGAGGCCACCAACAACAUGGCGGAGUAUGAGGCCUUGAUCUUUGGACUCACGGCGGCUCUGUCCCUGGGGGUCCGGGAGCUCCUGGUCAAAGGGGACUCCCAACUCGUCAUCAGGCAAGUCUGGGUGAGUGUUGCUGUAACAAUCCCCAGCUCGCAGCCUACCUCAUUCAUGUGAAGAGGCUGGAGAAGGACUUCGAUUUGCUGGAGCUGCAACAUGUUCCACGCGAGGGUACCUCAGCAGCUGAUGCCCUCUCCACGAGCGCAUCGACUCAAGCACCCGUGCCUGAGGGCGUCUUUCAGAGACGCCUGCUGAAGCCUUCCGCCCAGCCUGCUGACCUGGGCAGAGGGGGUCGGACUGGCACCUCGAAGCUAGCGGUCCCGGCGGCGCUCCAUCCGUGGAGCCCGCCAAGGGUUGUGUGCUCCCUAGAGGGUCCCGAAAACCUCAGGGAGCCAAGCCCAAAUUCUCAGGAAGGUCCGAUGCAUGGAUCUCUAAGAUCCGGGACUACCUGAAAGAUAAUUUCCUUCCUGAAUACCAAGCAUCUGCUGAGCACAUAGUCCGGAUGGCAAAACGAUACACGGUGAUAGAAGGGGAUCUCUACCGCCGUGGCGCCAACGGCAUCCUCAUGCGGUGCAUCACCUAGGAAGAGGGCCGCGACUUGCUCGCGGAGAUCCAUGGAGGCGAGUGCGGAAGUAAUUCUUCAUCCCGCACGCUGGUCGGUAAGACCUUCCGACAUGGCUUUUACUGGCCGACAGCGCUUCAGGAUGCAGCUGAGUUGGUAAGGUCCUGCAAGGCGUGUCAGUUCCAUGCAAAGCAAAUACACACUCCAGCUCAAGCCCUGCAGAGGAUUCCUCCCUCUUGGCCCUUUGCCGUGUGGGGGUUGGAUAUCUUGGGACCUUUCCCUAGGGCCGUCGGCGGGUACCGGUACCUCUAUGUCGCCAUUAACAAAUUCACCAAGUGGCCGGAGGCAACCCUAUUAGUCAACAUCACCAAGGCAUCAGCAACUGCUUUCCUCAGGUCAAUCGUGUGUCAGUUCGGGGUCCCGAACCGGGUCAUCACCGACAAUGGGACUCAGUUCAUGAGCCAAUACUUCCAGGAGUACCACGAGGACAUUGGCAUCCAGCUCUGUUUCGCCUAAGUGGCGCACCCCAGGAGCAAUGGCCAAGUCAAGCGUGCUAAUGCUGAGAUCCUCAGAGGACUCAAGAUCUGGACCUACUGCGAUCUUGAGAAACAUGGUGCAAGGUGGAUUGAUGAACUACCAAGUGUGCUGUGGGGAAACCGGACCACACCCAGCCGGGCAACAGGGGAGACCCCUUUCUUCUUGGUCUACGGGGCCGAAGCAUGCCUUCCCCCGAAGAUCACCAUGGGCUCUCUACGAGUCCAGUCCUUUGAUGAGGAUUUGCAAGAACAGCAGCGUCGCCAAGACGUGGACCUCGUCGACGAGCGAAGGUGGUGAGCUGCAGUCCGAAACGCACAAUACAACCAAGCGCUCUGGCGCUACCACCAGCGGUUCGUGCGCAGUAGGGAGCUCCGGGUCGACGACCUAGUCUUGAGGCGGAUCCUAAACCGGAAAGGCCUGCACAAGCUCUCCUCCAGCUGGGAGGGGCCCUUCAAGAUGAUAAAGGUGUGCCGACCCGGAUCUGUUCGUUUGGCUACGGAGGAAGGCAUGCAACUACCCAAUCCAUGGAACAUUGAGCACCUCCGUAAGUUCUAUCCCUAGGACCUAGUUGAGAGAAAAUUUUUCCUUUGUAAUUGGUAGCUCCAAUGUGCGGUCCAGGGCGGUGGAGGUCCGCCUCGUAAACCCGGCCCCUGGCGUACAUCGCACAACUCUUCUGUACCAAUUCGUCAAGGAAAAAUUUGUUUCUCAAAUAUGUUCCUGAAAUCUAUGAAGUUCUGUUUUUUCCUUGCUUCUCGAUUACGCUAACCCCCCGUGUGGUCUUUCACGUUUGAGUCGUGUCAAAGGCCUACUUAAGUUGCUACACUAUGUCUCUGGCCGGGACCCCUGUCUCGCGGAAGAAAAGGAACCGGGCACCUGGGAACUGGCUUCAGGGAGACGUGCUCGUCCUUUGCUGGGGUCCAGGGCCGCGUAGCUGCUUAGCCUGGUUCCGUACCCUAAGCCUGCACGCCCUGCCCCUCUAGGACGAGUAGCGUUGUACCUUGAACCAUGGACCCGGGGGCCGGGACCCCUUAGAUCCCCGAACUGUGGCCUCGGUGCUCUGACUCGUUACGCAACUCAGUAGGCCUUCGCUGGCCGGAUCGGGACCUCGUGGGGACGCCUACUAAGUAUCGAUCUAAGUCGCGUGCAGGACCUCGGUUUUGUGGCAGCUAGUCUUGACCUAUCGCGACUACCUCCCAGGGGGCCACGGGACCUCGGUGUACUCAAGAACACUUUACGGUUCGACAACCAGGAAAACAGCUAAGUUUUUGCAAAAAAGUAGACCUAAUGCAUUACUGAUAAUAUGCACAACAUUACGAAGUUAUUUUACAAUAACAAAAGUUAUAUUACAUAAGAAACAACAAAAAAGAUUCUAGAACUAUUGAUCUGGUGUCCCGGAGGCACCCCCGCUCUGUGCAGGUUCCGGGCGGCGUCAGACGCGUGCCGCGACCAUGUCCGCUGCCUCCUGGACUCCCUCCCGUGCAGCGGCUGCUAAUGCCCGGAGAGGUCCAACCAGGACUGGAGUCAGCUGGAUGGCGGGGUCGUGGCUUCGGAAGCUGGUGAGGAUGUACUCCGCCAUCUCCCGGGCAACUACACGCCCUUCGGUCUCCAGGAGGUUCUGGAUGCUGGCCUCCACGUCCCGCAGCCGCUCGGCAGUGGAGUCCAGGACCUGGAGGGCGGCGCCAAGUGGUGAAGACGCCCCCGGCGCCCGGAUGGGGUUGGCUCCGAGUGCUUCUAGCAGAGGGUUCACCUCGCCGACCCAUCUUGUGAUCCGGUCGGUGCUGGUGCUCCGCUCCGCCAGGAGCUCCUCCACCUUGGCCUCCCUUUCCCGGAGGGCCGCUUCCCGCUCCUGGAGCCUCUGUGUCCCGGCUGCCAGCUCCUCCUCCAUGGCCUCUUCCCGCUUCUGGAGUUCUUGGAGCCGAGCCACCACCUCUGCUUCGCGGGUUGCCGCCAGCUCUGCGAGGGUGGCCUCUUGCGCCUCGACCGCUGCCGCCGCCUUCUUGGCCUGGUUGGUCAGCGCCCUGGCGGCCUGCUCCUUCUUGGUCGCCGCCAGCAUCUUCUCCUCCGCCGCGAUCUGCCGCUCAAGGGCUACCGCUUCCCGCCUUUAGAUCGUCGAUUUCAGGUAAGGCCGCCUUCUCCCGCUGGAACGCUGCCACCUCCCGGUCGCGGGCCUUCUGCAGCUUCUCUUGCAGGAGCUCGCGCUCCAGCGCGAGCUUGGCCCGCUCUUCAGCGUGCCGGGCGGUGACGGACUUGAUGCGGUCCCCCAGGCGGCGCUCCCAGUCAGAGAGCCGGAAGUACUCCGCAUCCAGCUUCUCCCACUCUCGACGAAUGCCAGCCUCCAGCUCCUCUUGAGCCUGCUGGCAUUUGGCCAGGAGCCGGGGGAGGGGGAUCUCUGCUGCGCUCGGGAGGAGGGGCCUUCCCAGCACCACCUCCGGUUCCUCCUCCUCCGCUGGUGGGGCAGCGGCGCUGGUAACCUCAGCGGCCUCCGGUGCCGCUGUCUCCGCCGCCUCCGCUGUCUCCAGCGCUGCGGUCUCUGCCGCAGGAGCAGCCCCCUCUGCUGCUGGCUCAGCUGGAGAGGGCCCGGCCUCGGCGCCCGACGCGACUGCAGGCGCCUCGGUCGCCGCAGCGGGCCUAGCGUCCUCUUCCUGGGGGGCGGCAUCGGGUCGUGGCGGUACGGAAGCCUCCGGCUCAAGACCCCUAGGUCCCGAGGUUUCUGGGGUGGUCCAAGGCGGGGGCCCUGCUGGGGCCGACGCCGAGGAUUCCAGCGCAGGCUGGGGGCCGGAUCCCCCGAUUGGUGCCUCUAAAAAUUGGGGCCUGCCGUAUCACCGAUAUGGUUAAGAUCCAGAAGUUAAGAGGGAUAAUGAAGAGCUCUAAGAAGACUAUUUACGCGAAGUCAUACCACUCCCACCUGCCCCGGGCAGCUGGGGGGACCUUCCUCCGUGUCGAGGACCCCCUAGACCUUUGGCGGGUGUCCCCGACCGCCGGUGCUUCUGGCGGCGGCGGUGGGGUCUGCGGCCUGGGCUCGGUUGGUGGUGGUGGCGUCGCCGGACACCGUGUCGGCGGCGGUGGUGGAGGUGUCUGCUGCCUCGGAGGAGGCCCUCGCGCCUCUCCCGGCCUCCUCUCCGGCUGUUGGCGUUGUGGCGGAGGUGGUGGAGCUCCGCUCCGCUCCUCCGCCCCCGUCGUCUUCUGGCCCUUGGGCGCCGGCUCCCCGACCAAGGAGCCGUCGCCACGCUGGAGCCUCCAGGACUUGCUCCCUUCGGCUUGGCUGGUCUGUGCGGGCGCCGCCCCCUGGGCCUUGUCGUCCCUUUGGGCCGGCGCAGCACCCUUAUUGUCCUUGUACCGGUGCUCCGGCACCGGCACCUUCUCCUUCCCUUUCCCGGCGGGAGCCGGACCUCCAAGUCCGGGCUCCCCGGGACCUUCGCUGGUGCGUUGCUGGCGGUCCAGAGCGGCACCGGGGAUCUGGAGCCCGCGGUUGGGGUCGCCUCCCAACUGCCGAACCGCCAGGCCGCCCUCGUCCAGGGUCGGCAUCGACGCCAGGAUAGAUGACCGCAGCGCCUGGUCCUCGCACAGGGCCUUGAUCCCGCCCGGGAGGACCAGGGACUCUGGGCUGAACGCAUCGCCGGUCAUCGCCCGGAGCGCCGCCUCCAGCUCCGCCCUGGUGAAGUCGCCGCCUGGCCCGCGCGCGAUCCUGCCGCAGUCAUUCAGCCCCAUGUACAUGUAGGCCAUCCGGAACCGCUGCUGCAAGGGAGCAAUUCACCGCUUUAGAAAGUCGCCCAGCACCAUCAUGGAUGUCAGGCCGCUCCUCGCCAGCUUCUUGAUCCGGUUCAGCACCGGGUCGAGCUCCGCUGGGAUUGUUGGUUUGGCCUUCCAGGUGCUCCGGUCACUUUGGGGGGGCUCCGUUGGCAGCUCCAGGCGGUCGUGGGGGUCGGCCACCGCGAUGACCCAGCCUUCGCGCCAGUCCUCCCACUUGGAGCUGGAGAAGGCGCUGAUGUAGGAGCUCGCCACCCCCUGCCGGAGCUGGAAGUAAUAGGCGCCGAUCUCGCGCUUAGCCCUUCCAGUCCCGACCAAGGCGUAGAAGUGCUUGAAGAUGCUGGUGCAGGGGCGCACCCCCACGAACAUCUCCAUGAGGUGGGCGAAGACCGCCACGAGGAGGAUCGAGUGGGGGGUGAAAUGAUGAAGUUGAAGGCCGAACUCCUCUAGGAGUAGGAAGAAGAAGGAGGAGAACGGAGGAACCAACCCGCACAUAAUGUACGAGUUGAAGAGAAUGAACUCCCCCGCGUCAAGGUCGCAGAGGGGAACCUUGCCGGCCCUGAUCUUCCCGGCCAGCGCCGGCGCGGUCCAUCCAAGAAGGCUGCGCACUGAGUCCAGCUGGGCCUGGCUCUGGAAGCGGCGCGGAAAAGGAAGCGAAGACAUCGCGAUGGAUGUUGAGGUCGCUGAGGAUGAAUCGCAAGGAAGCGGGGAGGAGAAAAAAGUCGAGCGUAAGGAUGCUGUUCGCAAGGAAGAUUGCGAAGACGAAGGGGCACUACGGUGUCUGUUGAUGGUAAGAGCGAAAAGGUAGCCGUUCCCUUUGGCGCUUACCUUUUAUGCAAAAGGCUGUUGCCCUCUCGCGCUCUGCGGCGACCGAGGGGGAGUCGAACGGUUGCCUGCACCAGGCCCCCUCCUCUCACACCCAAUGACCGGUGGGGCCAGGCCCGCCGGUCAGAGGCGUGACCACGGGAUGGAAGGGGAAAAGGCGGAAUCCGAACCGCCCGAGCCGCGGGACGGGCUCGAAUAAGACAAGAAUCUGAACCGCCUGACGCGUAUGGCGCGGGCGGAGGACGGGCCCCUUGGGGAUCCCGCUUUGGGGGAAAAGUCAGCUAUGCCCUUCUCCGGCGGAACGAGCUGUCCACCCGGCGCAAUGCUGGGAAACUGGCCCCACCUGCGGGUUCAUUCUUCACCCGAGGUGGGCCCGGGGGCCUCUGUCGGUAUAUACAGACAGGUGUACCUCCUACUAGGGUGCCCAGGCCCUUAGCGUAUCACCAUACGUGAUCUCCCCCUCGCCUCCUGGGAGACGUGGCAUAUGGCCCAGGCCUGACAGCUGGGAUCAUGGUCUCCGGAUCCUCCCCGAGCUCUCUGAGGUCCAGGACCUCUGCAUGCCACGGAAGGCAAGGGAGCUCUUGGGUAGCCCCCGCGGACCUGGACUCCCCAGGGAGGUCCGGGGCCGCCACGUGUGAUGGCCGGACCGCUCCAACCGGCCUUGGGGGCCCGGACCCCCACCCUCCGGGGAGGGGUCCGGUGCCGCCACGUGCCGCCCCUGCGGAAGGAGCAGGGCUGGCCCUGCCACAUGCGUGUGGCAGGAGGCCCUUCGCGGAUCUCCAGCCCAUCUACCAGCAUUUAAUACGGUAGCUGGGCCGGGCGCGCCCAAGUCAAAAAGUGCGGCCUGCCCCUGACACACGGGGCAGGUUGGCUGACACCACGGUAAGCCCGCCUAUUAUCAAGGCGGCGCGUCGUAUCACCGUCACUGUGCGCAAGCGGCGUGCAGUCCCGUCACGGUGUGGCGCGCAGCGUGAUGAUGGCCUGUAACAGGUGAGCUGAGGCGUGCGCUGCUACAGCGCGCGCAGAGGUAACGGUGCGGCGGGUCAGCACUGCCCCCACGCCUGUCAAAGUCGCACCCAACAGUGGCAGCACAGCACCACUGUCGGGUAACACUGACAGCGAUCACUGUGCUUGCAGGUCAGCACACGACCAUAUCCAAGUUGUGGAUACGCACACUAUCUUCCCAACCGUGAAGGCUACAACGGGGAGCUGGAGAUGGAGAUCUCCAUAUCACUUAGAAUAGGCUCCUGUUGGCCGGGCCCGCCUGUCGGGGCUCCGCACAGUGUAAGCACUCCCCUAGGACUAUAAAAAGGAGAGUGCACUCGUUAGAAAAGGGGGUUUUUUUCAUAUACAUGAACACAAAUCCAGGGCUUACACAGUCAAUACAACACCAAAGUGGACAUAGGGUAUUACGCUCCGGCGGCCCGAACCACUCUAAAUGCUUGCAUCCUUCCUGCAUUCAUCCACGCAUCGAUCGAGCGCUCCUAAGUCUCCUCCAAACCCAUCCUUAACUAGGAUUAGGCGGGUGCAUUCCGCCACCCAGCUGGAAAUUUCCUCCGACAGGCCCCUUUCUGAAUGUUGGAUUGGGAAUUAAAACUUUCGGAAAAUGUCCAUGGGGUUUCCCUAUCACUAUCAACAUCGUAUAGUUUGCUGCAAGUCUGCAACUGUAACUAUGGAAGUGUUCUCCUUUCAAAAAAAAAAGACUAUGGAAGUGUUCUGGUUGGUUGUGACAAGUUGCUCCCAUCCCAAUCAAGCCCGCGGCAGUCCGGCACAGAGGGAGCGGGAGCAACUCGGCAGCCGCCACGAGCCGAGCAGGCGAACACAGUCGACACGCGCGAUGCCAUACGGUAUGGGCUGCAGCUUAAGAGGUAUUUUUGGCGUCGGGCCAUUUGGUCGGCCUCGGCCCGGUUCGCUUGGUGGCGACGCGACCCGAGCACGCCACGCGUGUCGGGCAGAGCAGUGUAACUCCCUCAUGCAUCUCUGCGAUUGGACAAUCGCAGAGCCGAGCGCUCCCGCCGUCCUCCCCGCUCCGGCGCCGUCUCCAUCGCUGCCCUCCAUCACCACCGCCAUUAAUCACUCUUGCUACAAUUUCACCCGUCCACCACCCAUAUUCUUCUUUCCAAUUUUUUCUCACCGCCACCGUCAGUCAAUACCCACCGAAUAUAUGACCUAGCCUUCGGUGCUGCCGCGCCAUCUUGCAUCGUCGGACCACCUCCGCCGCCGACCUCCUUCUCUCGAUCCGGUGAUCAUUAAAACUCCGAAAAUUCAAAAUUUUAUGAUCCACCAUCUUGACCACCAACCCGGCCGCGGCCGCUCCAUCCUCUCCCCCUCCCUUAGCUCGCCGGCGAACACUCUCCCUCUACGACAGCUCACCUCCUACCCACCCACGCGAGGAAUAGAUGCCCCGUUUGCCUUCCCGUCCGUGACCGAGCGCACGCAGAUCGCAUCGGCUCGGUCGCACGCCACGGUGUGGCUUGCUUCGGUCCUUCCUGGGCCGGGAAAAGUAAAGUAAGCAAGCAGAAGGAAGGGCGCCGUCGCUGUUACCACGGGGCCGUCGAUCACGACACGAGCCGCGCCGUACGUGAUCGCGGGGGUGGGGGAACUCAGCGAAGACCGAACACGGCGACGCCACGCAAGGAUCUGACGCUGGACGCCUCGCCCCCCAGCCUUAUCUGCUUCCGCCUCCCGAGGCCGAUCGACCAAUCCAGCGCAGCGUCCCCUCGCCGGCGGCCCCGCCGGGAAACCAGCACGUACGGCGCACACAGCACAGCACAGGCGCCAGUGCCAGCGGCGCAUGCAUGGCGCCGGCCUGUUGAAAAGGAAGGCGCAUCCGCGUACGGCGCCGCGGUUGGCACGUCACGUACUACGCGUCGGGUACGUACGCGCGUACGGCGGGUGGCGACGAUUGGCGGCCAUGCGAACGCGGGUGUUCCUCUCGGAUGCUAUCCAAGUACCUGGGCGUGGCAGGUAGGGUCCAUUUAAUUUCCCGUGCAAUUAAGCACACACAGCGAAAGCACUGCCCCACGGCCGGCCGGCGCCAAACGCGGCUGGCUCGCCGGUCGUCGGCCGGAGCUAGAGCAGAUGUACGUACAGGAUCCGCGUCAUUUGUUACAGUAGGCCAGGCGUUUGGUAGGCGCGGUAGGACGAAGCAAAGGUCCCGUGCCACACGCCUUGAAAGCGAGGAAUUCCUUUCUUCAUUUAUGGAUCUACCCCGGGCUGAUGAUCGAGUACCUUGCCUGACCUGGUGGUGAUCUCGGAUCAAGGAUGGUCACGCGCCGCGACUUCCAUGAUGGGACGAGAGGCCUGUGUCUCCAUCGGCGGCGUAAAUGCUCGUCCAUUUUUUCUCCAGGAUGUUUUUUUUUCAAAAAAACGAGAGUGAAUUAAACGAUUCAUAUAAUCAGAGGUUACAGGUACAGCUGCAUGGCUAAUUAUAAUCUCAACGAGAAAUCAAGUUGGACGAACUGACAAUAAUAUUGUCUGCAUGAUCAUGCAGUAUCAGUUGGCUAGCUAGGAGCAUCAUCACAAUGUUGUUCAGACACGAUCGAUAUGUAUGAUGUAUCCAGGAGGAGCAUGCAUGACGAUUUACAAACACACACAUAUAUAACACAUAAACGCAUCUUGUUUUUUCAUAUACGCAUGCAUGGUAAUAAUACGAUGAUAUUACCAGCUGUAAACACAACAUUCUCUCUGGGUAGAAGAGCCAUCAGCCAUGCACGGUUACAUACAUGCAGUCAGUGAGCUGUUUCAACUUAGAAUGCCGAUGUCUCUUUCAAUAUUUUUAAAACAAACUUCUGAAGAUGAAAUGGCUAGAAUUUGUCUUCAAAAGUGCUUUCAGUUUAUUGUAACUUCACUAUAUAUAUUCAACAGGAUUUAUAGCAUUGAUCAUUGGUCAAAUUAGCUAGACCUUAUCGCUUUCCUGGACAAUAUACUAGCAAUAUAUAGUUGCUUUUGUACCUGGAGGGAGUAUUAUUACACACAAAAAACAUACCAGUUGAGUGACGUUGAAUGAUUUUCUUUUACUAGUAAUAAUAGAUAGAUUUUUUACAGAAGUUCUGAUAAUUAUUUUGCAAACAACUUAUCUAAUCAAUCAACCGUGCUAUACUUGUAAGCGACUCUAGCAUCGACUGAUAUACGUAAUAUAUGGACUAUAUGGACGUAACUAGAUAGAGUAUAUCUACCAGUAGGAAAAAAUGCAUGUACAGCUGCACUACUAACUAGUUAGACAGACAUACGGUACUCAGUUUAAUUCCAAUGUUGCUAUACCGUGCAACCAAUGAACCAAAAUGUUUGAAUCAGAGUACGAUGCCACAGACCUAGCUACAAAUUUAGAAAUGCAGUAAGUUAACAAGAUAUCUACAAGACAAUUAGGAUCUUUGUAGUGUGUAUGGAUUGUAAUACAGGUUCAUAGCAUAUACACAUGGAGAAAUAAAAAUGAAAAGUUGAUGUUCAUCUAACGUAUUUCACAAUUUAUUCGCUAAACUACAUGUCAAUAUAGUUGUACAAAUGAACUUUGUGCAUAUACCAAGAAUGCAAAACACUGGACAAGUAUUUGAGAGUGUACAUGAGUGGAUAUAAUAUAUAAUAAAAUGACCGAAUAAUCAAUAUAGUAUAUAUAAACGACCAUGCAUAUAUCUACUUGUCAUGUUAUAGCUAGCACUAACCAGUUCUUCUCUGCUUUUUUUCGAAGAACCCAUUUCUUUCCUGUUAGAAGACUUUUUUUUUGAAAGAUUAGGCAGGAGCACUGAUGUUAGAAGACUUCAAUCCUCACAUUGGGAGUUGUUGCGCUGCUAUUGUAUUGGAAAAGAAAGAGGUGCAUGUGAAGCUACAAGGACUGCCUCAGCUAAUUGACAGCCAAUAGGCUAUCAUGACAUGCUAGUAGGGGCUAGCUCUUGCUAGCUUUAGCUUGGCACCAGCGGCACCUCUCAUAGAUAUGCAAUGCCCAACAGCCCAAGAGAGAUUUGGGGAAGUCAAAUAAAGGAUCUUGAUUAUUAGCAGGCCUGGUCUUACUCAUGCUCGUGAUUUGUGAAUAUGCAUGGUUGGGCUCUAAUCUGUUGCAUAGAGUAGCAUGUGUAAUGAAUCGUGCUCCUACUUCUCACAAAGAAAAGAUACUAUACAAAAUAAAGCUAAACUUACAAGUUCUUAGAGAAUUAACAAGAAGAUCGAAUCUAGAAGUGCGCAUAUAUUUCAUGUUGGUCAUCUCCUACUAUAUGAGUGGUCUUAUAUCUCUCUAGGGUCUAGACGUACAACAACUGGGAUAGUUACUGACAGAUGUAUUCGGAUCAUCGAUCAAUCAAGAAAUACAUGCGUCAAACUAAUCACUGAAGUUCUUUAACUAGAAAUAAUAGAUCAAAGAAAGAUAAAUCCACAUAAGUAAUAAUGAAAUAUUACAUGAACAGAACAAAUCCAAAACAAAGACUGAAAAGAAAUCAAUCAACAUAAUAAACGAAUCUUGUUUGCACAAAUCUUAUAUAGAAGACUGAACGGGAACAUGUAGAGGUAACAUAUGUAGCAUAGCAUGACAUACUCUUGCACAAGUACGUAGAUCCUAGCUGGAAAAAAGACGGAGUAUUUCGGACCAAGACGCUUGAUUCCCCAAAGCCAUGGCGCAGCAGUGUACAAAAGAAGCUGAAGAGGAGCUAGUCUGCUGGAAGAAGACGACUGAAGGAGAGGAGAACUGCACCGAUCUGAUGAUGGCUUCUUGACUCACAUGAGAGUAGUAGUACCAGAGCAGAUCAACCACGCCAUCAUCAUGCUCCGUGCAUCUCCCUCUCGCUUUCUGUCACGCCUCCCCAUCUCUCCCCCCUCCGCCGCCGGCCCCCUCGCACACGCCGCCCCUUCUCUCUCCGCUCCCGCUUUUCUCAUCGGCUAUAGCUUCUCCGGCCUCUUCCGCUUGGAAGUAGGUGGAGGCGACUCUUGAGGUGCGGUGUGGCAAUCAUGGCGGCCGAGGGCCCGAGGGGCUCGGGGGCAGCAUGAUUGCAUCUUGGAAGUAGCAGGGGGAGGAGAGGCUGCAGAGGCUCCUCGCAUCACAUGGUGUGGCAUGAUGGAGGCACACAUCUCAGCUCCGCUAGUAGCCGCACACACAUCUCCCUUGGUUUAUUGGGCUCCUCGAUUGGCCUCGCUGAUCUUCUUUCUAGGGGUCUCUUCCCC